Molecule: long non-coding RNA, 77039 nt
Filed under: Eucalyptus grandis
Lineage: Eukaryota; Viridiplantae; Streptophyta; Magnoliopsida; Myrtales; Myrtaceae
Description: long non-coding RNA (EGRA_LNC006766)
Source: RNAcentral
AUUUUGUUAUACAUCAUGUCGUUUUAUUUGCAAAUACCUUCUUAUGUGGCAUUCUUCUUGCAGGGAUUUUCGAUCAAAAAGCUUCGAGCUCACUUGUGUUCCUUUGGUGUAAUUGGACAUCUUGCACUUCAACCAAUGUAUACCUUUAUGAUACAUUGCCUCCCUCUCCGCUACCAUUGCAUAUGUAAAUUAUUUUUGAAGCAAUUGUUUUAUGACAUUGUGAAGCCCUAAUAGAGGUUAGUCAAUUUGCAAGUAGUUCACUGUGUACUACUCUGAGGCUUUUUGGAUGUUAUUGCAUAUGUAACAUGGUGCUUUGACCAUAUAAAUAGGUGCGCAGAAAGGCAAAGUUGCAUUUGCCAAGAUAACUUUGAAAAAGCCUCACAUAGUUUUGCUUGAUGAGCCAUCCAAUCAUCUGGUAAGUCUGCUCUUUUUGUCCACCUUAUGACUCCAAAUACUUUUCAUUUAGCUUGUUGUUGUUCUUGCACUAAUUGAACUUAUCGGAAUCUGAUGUUACAUUGAAAAUACAAGAGAAUCAAUUAGUGAUAACAACUAUAGAGAGCCUCUGUUCUGUCAUCAUAUAUCUAACUUAUAAUGGAACAUAAACCAAUCUAAUAAUUUCAACUUGGAAAAUAUUUGGAAUAGAAUAGUUAGCCUGAUCAGUUUUUUCAUAUUGGAGUAAUCUGUAAUACCAAAGAGUUGUGAUAUCUGUGCCUGUAGGUAGUAGUGGGCUCUAUUUAUAAAUGUGGUCUUUAAGCUCUGCUUUAAUGAGUAGUGACUACUGAAGAAUUAUCUUUGUAAAUUGUUAGUUUCUUGUCCAAGGAUGAGUGAGUGCAACUCUGCUGUUUUGCCUAUCCACAACUGGAGGAUUUGGAUGUGGCUGAGGUGCUCAUUCAAGGUCUGGUCUUGUUCUAUGGAGCAAUUGAGAUGGUGAGAUUGAUUUUGUUGUCAAAAUGCUUCAAUUUGACCAACCAUGGAUCAUUUUCACAGCUAAUAGCCCUCCUUUCACCUUGAUUUGCAGCUUAGUCACAAUAAGCAUCUAAUAGCUGGAACGUCAAAUGAGGUCUGGGUGAUUCCAUAAGGCAAGGUGGCGCCUAUCCAUGGGAAUUUUCAGGACUAUAGGAAGGUACUCCAGUUUUUGUUAUAUCAGGUGAAUCUAGUUAUUACCAUCAACUGAGAGUGGUUCAUUGGGUUCCCAUAUCCUUACAAAACUGAAAAUGAGGCUUAGCUACAUAGAAAAAGCCAAAAAAAGAUGAAGAGAGGAUUGCUGCUGAUGUACAGGAUAGACUCACUAUUACCCUGGCCCUCGUUUGUCAUACAUACUUGAUAAGGACUCGUGGAAGGAAGAAUCAAAGUUUUGACAUUGAGUGUGUAGUAUCAUUUGCAAUAGCUUAAGAACUGAGUUGGGAUUGUACUCCCGGUAUAAUUUAUGCUUUCUUGCACAUUUUGUUCUAGCAAUAGGUUCAUUUGUUGUGCCCGUAGAAGUUUGAUACUCUGUCGCCGUGGAAGUCAGCUUUCCCAUACAUAGUAAAAUGAUUUAAUCAUUUGCGAAAGAAUCGUUUUAGCAUAGUAAAUUAUUUUGUAGGACAAUCUAUUUUUAUAUGAAUAUAUUUUCCCUAUUUUCAUUCUUUGCAUUGUUCAGGAGAAUUAAUUAUGAAAAUAUUAUCACGGUCAACAAAACUUUAUAUUCAACUCUAAGUACAGAAUUGCGUUGACUAAUUAUAAGGUAGGCCUUGUGUCGCCAAAAAAUACUAUAAUGAAAUUCCAUAUAAAUACCUGGAUUUGUUAGAUAAAAUCCUUUUACCAUGUUCAGGUCAACAUUGAAAAUGAGAAGCUUUCUUUCUCCCAACUGCUACGGUGCAGAUGGACAAACGGAACUGAUAGCAGAGGUUUGAGUAAGCGAAUGUGACAGCUAAAUGCUGAAUUUCAUUUUUCUUUUAUUCAAAUACCCACUCCACUCCCAUCUCUUGACAACAUUUUUAGCGGUCCUACAUAUUAUAUUUCCUGUGCAGGACGGGGAAUGGGAAGAAGGAUUAAUAGCCGUGGCUACCCUCUGGAUGUUUCUUUGAGGACUUACGUCUGCUAUGAGAUAUUCUGAUUCCGAGAAGAUCGUCACUUAGCGCCACUGAUGAUUAACUCCUUGAAGGGGGCAAGCCCCACCACAUUUACCCCCAUCGAGGUGCUGAAGAUCCAGGACCAUUCACACGUGACAAGAUACACGCACUACCAUUGCAAAUGGUUUCAAUCUCGUGAGCUCACAUGUUGAAGAUAUACCUUGAAUUCAGGCAAAUGAAGGGAAUUUGAUCCAAAAAGGAAACGUGCUACUAUGGCUUCCAUGUUAUAUACAAUUUUGAGGAAUACUGUUACAUGAGUUCUAUUAAUGGACACUUCUGUUACAUUAUAAAGUUAUUGCCUGCUAUAUGAGGUUUUUGCCAUAACAAUCAUUCCCAUGUUGAGGAGCGAAACUGUUUUCUACUUCUUCAUCGUCAGACCCUGCUUGAGACACUGUCUCACGAACUACUUUUAGCAGAGACUUUUGAUCUGGAGCUGCUGCGAAUUGAGCUUGAUGUUGACCUUGGUUGAGGAAAAAUUGAGUUUGUUCUGAUGGUCGUGAUUUUGACCGGCAGGAUUUGCAGCCAAACAUGACGGCUUCUUCAUUUGCAAAUUGAGGGGCAAAUUUUGCCCACCAUUUAAUUUUUUAAUUCUCUUUCGAGAAUAGAAUAUAUCACGGUCUACUAUACAAGAUCUAACAUGCGAACAAUCGUCUUCAUAUCUGAAAAAUAUUUAACAUGUGAAGAUGAAGAGGUUCUUGAAGCGGCUUAAUUAUUGCAGAAAAUCUUUUCUCCAUGAAGGGGGCUUGAUUCUACUCUCUAAGGGACUCGACAUUUUUGUGUUAUUGUUUUAUUAGGAUUCUUGACGAUAUUGAUUUUGAGUAACUUCCACAGAGUCUAUAUCAACGGGGAUGAAUACAUAAAAAGUUUUGGUUUUAGGAUGAUGAUUUGCAAUAUAAUGAAAAUCCGGAGGGAUGUGGCCCUGCAUUAUUUUAUGAUUGAGAUUUGAUAAAACCUUCUAGUUGUUUUGAGAGAAAUUUGUUAAUAAAAAAAUGUUAUUUUCAUUUUUCACUAUUUAGCGUGGUAAAGAGCUGGUCAAAGGAAAUUAAUUUAGAAAAAAAUUAAGUGGAAGUACAAUAAUAGAACGGAUGAAUAUCUACAAGGGAAAAGAGCGUGCGACGAUGCUAUUCUAUCGCGGUCCUUCCUAGUGAUGUGGAGAUGGACCGCAUAUGACAAGCUAAUUACGGUCUGCAAAACAUGAAAAAUAGUAAGAUAUGGGGAAAGGAUAUGCAAAAAUAUCCUUCGUCGGCCUAAUUCACAAACGAAACUCAACUUCGAUCUCCUCAGGAACAAGUCAGGCGUGUCCCACCGACGAAUUCUAGUAAUUUUAUAGCAAAAAAGUUACUUUUCGUCACCACCCAAUAGUUACGGAUUUUAUUUCGUCGCUAAAGGACCAACCUCUUGCAACGAGAAUUUGGUCGGUUUUUUUGUAGAUUUGGUGAUGCAAAAUUUCAUGGUUAAUCAUACCCGUGGCCGAAGCGUCCAAUUUAGUAUUGAUUAAAUCAUCUCUACCAAUGCAAUUUUUUUUUUUUUUUUGGUAAAGGUAAAUAAUAAUAAAGCUUUGGACAAAAUACAAAAGACAGCGCCAAAGGCUUACACUCUAAGGAAGACCAAAGAGUGGAAGGGUGCCGUGAGAAAAGCCAAAGGCAAGCGGACCAAAAGGAGAAGAUCCACAGUUACAACACAAAAACCAGUACAACCACCAGACCUCCACCAAACAUUCGAAGAAUGAAGAAACGGAGUGAUGUUGAAGUUGUAGCGGAACGAGAGAAGAAGCGGGGAGACUAACGCCUGAGACGAUCCGUAAAGAUGGAGGGAUCAAGAUCCCAGCUUCUUUGGAGACGCCUAUUUCUCGGAGUAUCCGGAACACUUGUGAAUGUAGUCGCUUUAUCUUUGAUUAUCUUCAUAAGGUGGUUCUUCAAAGCAAGGACAACCAGUGCUUCCCCUCGGAAAAUAAUAUCAUUCAUUUUCUUCCAAAUCAAAUAACAAAGGCCACCGAAAGAAAAUCGCGCAAUCCGAUGGUAGAAAUCCUUACCGGAGAGCAACCUGAUCGCCCAAGCAAGGUUGUCCAUCCAUGGCCUCGAUUUCCAAGGUAAAUUGCAUCUCGUCGCCCAAAAAUAAGCAAGUGAGGCCGAGAUACGACAGUUGAAGAACAAGUGAUCAAUAGAGUCCGGAGUAGCAUUACAGUAUGCACAAGUACCCGAGACGAUUCUACUAGAAUGGAUUAGGAAUUCUUGGGUGGGUAAUCUGUUCUUGGUAAUCAACCACAAGUUAAAUUGAUUUCUAGGGACAAUAUCAGAGUUCCAAAUAAAGAAGUCCCAAGAAACUUUUUCCUUCUUUGUUCUAAUGAAAUCCCAUGCAGAGGCAACAGAAAAGGAUCCGGAUGAGUGCUGAUUCCAAGUGAAACAAUCCGGUGCAUUAGUCUGAUCCGGGACAGAGAAACCACAGCUCUGAAGUGAACUCUUAAAUGCAUGACCGAGGGGGGAGAAUAAAUCUGCAACAACAGCAUGCUUAAAGAGACCCGACAAUUCAAUGAUGGAUGUCGGAAAUAAAAGAUCAAGGGGGCCAUCAGCGAGCCAUUGAUCAUGCCAUAAAGAAACCGAAAAUCCAUUACCAAUCUUCCAAGCGAAGCAAGACCUAAACUCUGUUCUUAAUUGCAAUAUUUUUUUCCAGGCCCAAGAACACGUAGAAGGUUUUGAGGCGAUCCAGAAAUUGUCCUUUUUUAAGAAAUUAGAAUGGAUCCAUCGACACCACAACGAUUCUUUAUCGGUGAAAAGGAUCCAUAUGUACUUAAGCAUGGCCGCUCUAUUGCAGUCUUUCAAAUUCCUUAUACCGAGCCCACCUUCAUUUUUUGGGAGACAUAUGUCAUCCCACGCAACCUUAGCCCCACCUUUACCAAGUGUGGAUCCUUUCCAUAAGAAUUGUCUCAAAAUUGUUUCAAUACUAACCAGAACCGACGCCGGUAAGGUAAACACACUCGACCAAUAUGAUUGAAUAGAAUGGAGGAUUGACCUGAUGAGCUGCAAUCUUCCAGCAUAUGAUAGAAAUCUUUGAGUCCAAGAUUGAGCCCUAACAGUGAUCCGAUCAAUUAGAGCAAUACAGUGAACUUUUCGAAGUCUAGAAGAGAUGAUGGGAACCCCGAGGUAUCGCACAGGCAAGGUACCUUCUUGGAAUCCAAAGGCCAUUUGAAUAUAAUUGCGAAGAGACAGAGGUCCUCCAGACAUAAAGAUUUUGCUCUUGUUUCUAUUCGGGAUCAAGCCACUCCAUGAAGAGAAUAUAUCAAGGCCCUUUUUCAUUAAGGUGAUAGACGCCCAGUCAGCUCGACAGAAAAGGAAAACGUCAUCCGCGAAAAAAAGAUGAGUCAGCCGAGUUGCCUUGCACCUCCAAUAGGGAUUGAAUUCCUUAAGAGAAGUCUGGGAGACUAGAAUUCCAGAGAAUACCUCCAUCACAAGUGUGAACAGAUAAGGGGACAUAGGAUCUCCUUGUCGUAGUCCUCUCCCACCGGCAAAGAAUCCAUGAAGCUCUCCAUUGAUUGAAAUGGAAUAUUUGGGAGUCCGAACACAAGCCAUAAUCAAUCGAACAAAAACAUCAGGGAAGCCAAAUGCCGUGAGUGUCGAUUGAAGAAAAUCCCAGUCGAUAGUAUCAUAAGCCUUCUGGAAAUCAACUUUUAUCGCACAUUUGGGGAGGUAAGGUUCCAAAUGAAACCCAGCAAAUAAUUCUUGAGCCAAAAGAAUGUUAUCUCUAAUCCUCCUCCCUUUGACAAAGGCGUUUUGAGAGUAGUCAACUAAGUUCCCAAGGACAACAGCUAGGCGAUUGGCUAAUAUCUUUGUAAUGAUUUUAUAAAUGAUGUUGCAACAUGCAAUAGGGCAAAAAUCUGAGACAUCGCAAGCAUUAGGGACCUUUGGAACUAAAGUGAGGAUGGUAUUAUUCACCUCUCUAAGCAGACAGCCUGAUGUAAAGAAUUCCUGAACUGCCUCUGUUACGAGCGGGCCAACAGUAUCCCAGCAUCUCUUGAAGAAUUCGGCAGUGAAUCCAUCAGGACCUGGAGCUUUCCCCUUCGCUAGAGAGAAGACUGUUUCUCGAACUUCAGGGACUAGCACUGGUCUGGUUAGGUCACCGGCUUGGUCCACCGACAGGGGAUUGCGAAUGAACUUUCUUAACUCCUGCAGGGAAGGCUUGGAUACUCCAGGGUGAGAAGAAAGCAGAUCAGCAAAAAACGUUACAAAUACUUGGGGAACCACCUCAGGGUCAUCGAUAAAAGCACCCGAGGAGUCCUUCACCGUAAGGAUUCUGUUUGUAAGUUGUCUUUUCUUGACAGAAUGAUGAAAAAACUUUGUAUUUUGGUCCCCUUCCUUGAGCCAUCGGAUUCUCGAUUUUUGCCUAUAGAAGGAUUCUUCAUCUCUUCUCAAGUUAACAAAGAGCUUACGGCAAAUCUGCUCUGUAUUGGCGAGGUCAGAAUCAUUAGGGUUGAGAUGAAGAUCAAGCUGAGCAGAGCGAAGAGCUUCCCUUGCUUCCUCUGUUCUUGCUGAAAUGUUUGAAUAUGUAUCUCUAUUUAAAAGUUUAAGCCGGCUCUUUAGAGUUUUGAGUUUAGAAACAAGCCUAAACAUAGCAAAUCCUCGAACUGGAAUAUCCCAUACCUGCUGCACAAUAAGGAAGAAGUCAGGGUGCUGUGCCCAGAAAUCAAAAUACUUGAAAGGCCUUCUCCUAUGAAUCGGGUCAAUGACUCUGACUACCAUUGGGGAGUGGUCGGAGAUACCCGGGUUUAGGAAAGAGGCCUCGGAAAAAGAGAAUUCCAUAUUCCAAGAGGUAUUAACCAAAACACGAUCUAUUUUCCGCAUUUUCCUACUUGCACCCGCAGAGGUGGACCAGGUAAACCUAAGGCCAAUGUACCUGAGGUCGUCCAACUCAGUUUGAGCUAGGCAGUUUGCAAACUCAUCAAAGUAUGGAAUCCAAGUAUCAGAACUACCAAAACGGUCAGAUGGAUCCUUGAUAGCGUUGAAAUCUCCUGCAACCAACCAGGGCGUGUCUUGCAUGAGGGCAUUUAUCCGAAUAAGAUCUUCCCAGAGUGGGCGACGGCGAAUAAACGAGUGUUCACCAUAUAUAAUAGAAACACAGCACGUCUUUGUAGACGAGAUAAUCCUCACACGGCCAUGCACAGCUUGAGCACUAACCGAGAUGGGAUCAUAAUUUAUAUAGUGUGGGUUCCAACCAACCCAUAUUCUUCCACGAGGGGAAUGUUCAUAAUUCGUGAUCCAUUUCCAGCCAUUCAGCAAAAAGGAGGAUAGGGAAUCAGAAGUAUCCUCAGGGACUUUGGUCUCAAUGAGCCCAAUCAAGCACAGAUUAUGAGAAGUGACAAGCUUCCGCACUUCAGCCCGAGUAACGGAAUUCAUAAGACCUCUAACGUUCCAGGCAGCUAUAUACAUAAUUACAAAAGAAGGGGAAGAGGGUUACCUCUUUCUAGAACCCUUAUUCCUACCCACCGUCAGAGGAGGAUCCGUAAUAGGAGGAGGGUCCGGGCAUAGCAGCAGCAGCUCAUCCUGCAUUGUCACAGCUGGGGUAGUAGAGCGAGGGUCUUUCGGUGGGAGAGAGUCUACCGAAAGCAGGUCUUCAUCUUCUGUCUCUUCCUGGAAGCUGGGAUUGACAAUCUCAUCUGAAUAAUGAGGUACUAACAAAUGAGGAGCAAUUGCUUUCUCUUUAGCCGAUAUAGAGGGGCCGUGACCAGCUUUAGAGGGUGCUGCGCCCGUACCAGCAGACUUCCGAGAUGCUGGUGCAACUCUCACUCUCCUUAAAACAAAGUCUUUUAGCUUCAACGAUUGGCCUCCUUCACGAAAAGGAGCUGAGUUGGAGGAGGCAGCCUUUUUUGUGAAAGGCUUUUUCUUUCUUUUGACUUGUUUCCACUCAGAAUCGCCAGGGGGAGGGAUGCUAGAUGGAUCGUCCGCCAUCCUCAAAACCAGUCUUUCUUCCUCAGCAACGCCUUCAGUAGACUUGACUGCGAACAUAGGAUCAACUGCAUAUGUUUCUAUAGUCUUGUGUAUUUCGGCCGAGUUCCCCCCUCCCUGAGGACUUCCAGGAACAGUCCUUGUAGUAACCAUAGGGUUGAUAUGCAUCUCUGUAGUUCGAAGGUUCAUGAGGUGGGGGCUCGAUUGGCCCUGAGGCCGAGAACCAGUAGGAUCAGAGACAUUCUGAACACUAGCAGUUGCUUCAACCAGUAGGGUUGAUAUGCAUCUCUCUACCAAUGCAAUUUUCAUAACUGAAAAAUCGUGGCAAUGAGACAUUUCAUAGCUAAAAAGGUACAUAUUCUUUUUUUGGCCACCAUUGUAGCCACGAAAGUUUUCGUUACUAUUUUAGAGAAAUUUGUCUAGGAUCACCUAGUCCAGUUGAUGAAUUGAUAUCAAUUCAGUCAUAAACCUUUUGAUUGUGUUAAUUUAAUUAUAAACAUUUUGAAUUGAUGCCAAUUCAAUCUUAAACUUUUUGAACUAGUGUCAAUUUAAUCAUAAACGUUUUGACUUGAUGUUAAUUCAAUUAUUCUCAGUAAUUUUGGUUAUAUAUUGCUAACAAGGACGCCAACUGACUUAUGUGGUAUGGUUGGUACUAAUAUUAAUAAUUUUUAAUAAUAUUUCAAUAUUUUUCAAUAUUUUAUUCUUUUUUAUGAUUUUUUUUCUCUCAUUUCUUCUUCUUCCUUUUGCCAGUGACUGGCCAUCGGCCACGGUUGAGCAAGCUAGCCUCACAUGGCCAUGGUGAGGCCAAGCCUCAACAAGGGUCAACCUCACCGGAUCUAGCCUUGCAAACCUCACCAGAUCUAGCUUGGGCAAGGCCAACCUUCGCUGAGUGUCACCUUCGCCCGUGUUUUCUUCUAGAAGAUUAUCAGCACGAUGUGCACCUAUUUGAAACUAACGGAUAAGCUGGCCAUUCUUCAAUUGAACGGAAAAAAAAAAAUUGAUCUCUCUUGCAUAACGAGAUGAGAAAACUGUUACCACAGAUUGCUCCAGCACCGGUCGGCAAGCUCCUUCAGCUCUAUAUUGCUAAAAGAAAUGACUGGAGAAUGAUUUUCCCUUUCAAAGUCAUCAUGGCUGUUAGAGAAAUUAACUCUGAUUCUGUGAUUUUUAAUUUUCUAAUGUUAGGAGUGAUUCGAUUUGUUUUGAGAUUGACUCUAUGAAGAUGGCAAGAAUCGCAGUUAUAUGUAUUUGUAGUAGUUGCUAUAAUUAGCCUGGUAGGUGUUCGUUAAAAUUUCCUAGGGAAAUUUGAGUUGAUUGUCUUACUGGACAAUCAUCUUUUGUGAAUGAUAAAUGUCUUUACUUGUGUACAACAUGCAGGUGUGAGAUUUUAUCUCUUCAUUUUUCUAUAGUCCUCUGCUUUUUUUUAUGUUCCUUGCUACAUCUUUCUAGUUCUUGAGUACAAUGUUGUCAUUUCCACUUGCUCAAGUUGUUUUGGGUAGUUCUGAUAAUCAGCUUAAGUAAGCUGUCAUUGUGUUUGGUAAGCUUUCCUAGUAUUUGCUUUACAAAUUUGGUACCUUACAUCAUGUUAUGAAAAUUGAAUUCCAUAAAAUUGUAUUUAAAAUUGAUCAUAUAACAUGUAUGUCCCUUAUUGCACGAAUAGAGUAUCUCCUAAGUUUUUCUUUUUUUAACAAUAAAGGGUAAUUUUUAGUAUGAUUCCAAAUUUUAGCCAAACAUCAGGAAAUAUUAUCAUGUUCUCAAUUGACACCCGAAUUUUCGUCGAUAAAUCCAGCACACAUUUGUGUAGAAAAUAUAAUUGUAGUUAAAAAAAAAAUUACAAAUGAAAAAAGAGAGAGAGAAAAUAAAAUGGUAAAACUCAAGCUCGCUAGAUGAAAGUCAUCAAUCUAGUCGAAUCCGUGCCACCACUCCGGCCCAAAACUCAUCAAAUAGGUAAAAGCCCGCUCACCAGACCCGUGAAGCUUCAGUCCACACUUCGCACAGGCCCAGAGUCACAAGUCUGAGCUGAAGGAACCAAGCCCACAGAGGAUUUGCGUUUUCUCCCUCUCUCGCCCGAAGCUCCAUCUCCACCAUUCGAGUUUCACAAUGGUCGCUUCUAGUAUUCCGCCAUCUCCACCGCCUCGCAUCGGCUUCUCCGGCCCUCAGACGUAACUCUUCCAGUUCCUCCCACGGGGAAAAGCUUUCUGAGUCGUGCCGAUAGCUCUGCGGUUCCAGCCUCGACUCGUCUUGAAUUUCCUGCAUUCCCUUGAAGCUUCUCAAUCUCACUCGAACUGGAGCCAAUCGUAGCCAAGCGCCUCCCUCGCUCGACAACUUCAUUAUCGUUCGUUUUUGUCACUGCCUUCUCCUUCGGUUUCUGUCAUCUUCGUUCCCCGACGGAGGAGAAUCGCCGUGACUGAAACUCGAUCAGAAUUGGAUUCUUCGCUUCGAGCUCUUCAUCAUUCGGUUACUGCAACAAUUUUGAAGGUAAGCUGUCUCUCAUUCUAUGGAUUUCAUUUUACAAUUCAGUCAAUAGCAUCGAUUCUCGGUCUUUUUUCUGAAUUUCCAGAGACCUCUUCAUCCAAAUUUCUUCUCUAUUGCCCUCCGGACACUGUCGGCCACUGCCAACCUCAACCAAUCGUCACCGUUCCCAUUUCCAUGGCCACCGUCGGAAGCUCUUUCCGCCCCUGUUCUCGGUCGGUCACCAUUGCUGAAGUGCUCGGACUGUGGUCACCACUCUCUCACGACGGUUCCAGUUCAUGAAGCUGCUUCUAUAAUCACCUUAUUGAGGUCCGAUCGUUAAUCGUCACAGGUAAUCAUCCUUUAUUCAAUCGAAUCACAUAUGCUGUGUGUCCAGUUGCUCUACGUACAGACUACUGCAUGGGUAAAAUCUACUAAUUGCUUUGUGAUCAUCUCGUUCACAUGACUGAACUGUAUUGAUAUGCAUAUUUGAGGUUGAGGUGCUUUUCUUUAUCUUCAUAUCAGAAUUGUGCAGUGCGUGCUUGAGCCGAGACAUUCAUCAGUAUAUUUGUCGACUUACUUUCGUCGAUUUGUUCAAUGCAUGCCCGACCGUUGCUCUCAACACGUUGUGCUGAUCAACGCUUUAGAGAAGCUGCGCUUGGAUUUGCUGGAACCAGCUUAUACUCGACUGGUCAAGUUGAGCACUAUACUUGCUAUUAGCAAAGGUGGUCACUGCAGCAACCAUCUAGUUCGUGAAUAAUUCCCCUAGAAAUGAAAAAAUAGGUGCAAUUCUUAAGAGAAACGGCCGCGGUCCGUGAAAACAAGAUGAGAAAAAGAGAAAAUGUACCUGAUAAACCCGUAUAGAGGAUUAAGGCGUUAUAAAGCAGAAAAACCAGAUGUCACAGCUGUAUAGUCAAGCGCAAACAGCUUGUUAUGUUAAUCCUGAUAAUUAUCGGAGCAAACUGAAGCUGUUCGGCUGCUUAGAAAGACACUCCUUUGUAGAUGCCCAAAAACAAUAAAAAUAAAAACCAAGCCCACAACCAGACUUCUUAAGUACGCGCGUUUCUCUCUUCAUACUGCCGGAACAUACGAAUUAAAUGUUCUCGAAGGAGUCCUAACCAAGCCCACAGCCUGACUUACUGAUUGAAUGUUCUCUAUUUUAUUUUGUGGUGUCCCAGUUUUGUGGGUUUUCGAUUGUUGAAUUGACUGAAUUGACAUCCUCUUGUGAGAAUAUUCUCGGAUGGGACUUCGGUUGUGAGGUAAUUAGACUCGGUUUCCUUCGUUAAUCGAAUGGCAGAUUUUUUAUUAGUUUGGCUUUUUAGUUAGGGCUUCUAGGUGAAUUCCAAUUCAAUGCGACCAUGUGAACAUCAUGUUGAUAUAGCUAAUUCGAAAUUAAUAUGAUUUGACUCUUUUUGGAUACUUUUUGGUGAAAAGGGCGAUUCCUCGUAAUAAUUAAAAUAAAAAAAUUUAUAUUGAAAAUUUCAUGAUAAGAGAAAGUAUUUUUCAUGAAAUUUUGAUUUGUUUAAUAGUUUAAAAAAAAGAAGUGAUUUCCUUCUUGUUAUAAACGAAAUGCGGUUUUUCCACCACAUAUUUCAAAAAAUGCAAAAGUAAGAAACUAGCAACUAGCAAUCGUUUUUAUGAUAUGUUCAGAAAGUUUGGCACAAGAUUGUAAGAUGAACUAUUUGAGGGGGACAAAAGAGUAGUCCCUCUAAUUUGCUGGUACAAUAUAGUGGUGUUUUCUUGAUUUAGAUUGUUGGGAUCACCACUCAAAUUAUUUUCAUUUUAGUUAUUACACAGAUUUUCUUUUGAUUGAUUAGUUUGACACCAUUUUUUUUUUUUUUGGGUCGAAAGUUUGACACCAUAUUGAUUUGGGCUCCUUUGGUGUAACUAGAAAUUUUGUGGUUCAACCAAUGCAUACCCUGUUUGGCAUAUCUCCUCCCUUUCUAUUACCGUUACAUAUAAUAUUGUUUGUCUGAUCACUCUCAUAGCUUUUUAUUAUGUGUGAAAGAUAAUUUUAAUUAAUUGUUCCUUUUCGGAUUUUUUAUAUUUUCUUAUGUUCAUCUCGCACCUUAUGUUGUUCUUCUUGUUGAAGAGUCUUCGAUACAAAUGACGUCAUUAUUCCAAUUGUGUUGGUUGAUAAUGAUGGCAAUUAGCAAAAGCUAAGGAAUUAAAGAAAAAUCUGGGGCUUUUACUUUGUUUUUCAAUACAUAUUUUUUAUUUUAUUUUUGUGACUGAAUAAUUUUGGAGUUGGUUAUUAAUUGAAGCAAGAAAUUCUCAAACUAGCACCAAGAUGCAAAAAAAAAAAAGAAAAAUGCCAACUUCCUCACAUUUUGUAUGACAGGACAAAAAUUCUCUUAUCUGGAAAAGAAAAAAAAACGAGGAGGAAGUAUAGAUUGUCCAUUGAAAAUUAGUCUUUUCAAUUAAUUGGCUCCUUGAAAUUUAUUUUAUAUCAUUACACUUUAAACUUUUGCAAUAGGCAUCAUUUUACCCAAACUCCUUUGGAAUGGUGUCUUUAUAGAUUUAGAAUGUUGUAUGAUACUAUAUGUGAAUCGCAAGCCCGAUAGAAUUAGACCUGAAUAAAGUAUUUUGUAUCAUAAGCAUUCAAAGUAAUAGCACAAAUACAAUGUGCAGCCAAGCAGGAAAUUCUCAACGAGUAAUAUCACACUGAGUCACAAGUGUAAGCUGAGCCCAAGAGGCCCAUCAGCCCAAAGCCCAUAAAAAGAACCAAGCCCAGCCACAUCUUGGUUUUAUCCUCUCUCUUUCUCUCUCUUCCGUUUUCUCUCUCUAGCCCUCUAAAGCUUCAAACGAAGAGGCGCUGGGGGAAACGGGAUCGAUUCUCCAUCUCCCGCGGUUCGAGUUUCACCGGAGGUUAUUCAUGGCCGAUUCUAGUAUUCUGCCAUCUCCGCCGCCUCGCAUCGGCUUCUCCGGCCUUCAGACGUAACUCUUCCAGUUACUUCCAUGGCGAAAAUCUUUCUGGUUCGCGCCGAAAGCUCUGCAGUUCCGGUCUCGAUUCGUCUUGAAUUUGCUGCAUUCACUUGAAGCUUCUCCAUCUCUCCCUUAAGUGAUAAGCCAAUCGUAGCAAGCACUUUCUCGCUGACGACUCUUAUCUUUCGUUUUUGUCACUGCCCUCUUCGGUUUCCAUACAGGGAGACAGCCGUGACUGAAACUCUACUGAACUCGGAUUCUUCACUUCGAGCUCUUCAUCAUUCGGUUACUGCAACAAUUUUGAAGGUAAGUUCUCUCUCAUUCUCUGGAUUUCAUUUCUCAAUUCAGUCAAUAGCAUUCAUUCUCGGUCUUUCUCUGAAUUUCCAGAGACCUCUUCAUCGAAAUUUCUUCUCUAUUGCCCUCCGGACACUGUUAGCCACCACCAACCACCACCGGUCGUCACCGUUCCCAUUUCCACGGCCAACAGCAGAAGCUCUGUGCGCCCCUGUGCUCGGUCACCAUUGCUGAAGUGCUCAGACUGCGGUCACCACCGUCUCUCACGAUGGUUCCUGUUCAUGAAGCUGCUUCUAUAAUCACCUUAUUGAGGUCCGAUCAUUAAUCGUCACAGGUAAUCAUCCUUUAUUCAAUCGAAUCGCAUAUGCUAUGUUUUCAGUUGCUCUUCGUACAAACCACUGCCUGGGUAAAAUCCACUAAUUGCUUUGCGAUGAUCUCGUCCACAUAACUGAACUGUAUUGAUAUGCAUAUUUGAGGUUGAGGUGUUUUUCUGUAUUUUCAUAGCUGAAUUGUGUAGUGCAUGCUUGAGCCGAGACAUUCUUCAGUAUAUUUGUCGACUUACUUUCGACGAUUUCUUCAAUGCAUGUACGACCGUCAGUCUCAACACGUUGUGCUGAUGGAACCAAGCUUAUACUCGACUGGUAAUGUUUAGCACUACACUUGCUAUCAGCAAAGGUGGCCAUUCGGUUCCAUGUCGGAGCAAACCGAAGCUUUUCGGCUGCUUAGAAAGAUAUUCCUUGCAAUUAAGAUGCAAAAAAACCAGACUUAGUAAUUUUGCUAAUGAAUUGGCUGAGUCACGACUAACCAAGCCCACAAUAGAGAACAAAAUCUUCUUAAGUACGCGAGUUUCUCUCUUCGUUCUGCUGGAACACACGAAUUGAAUGUUCUCAAAGGAGUCCUAAUUUUUUUGUAAAGAAAUCCUCAGGAAGCAAUGACAUACCUACAGGAUGUAGACGCAUACUAUCUAAGUUUAAUAUAAAGAGUUAGAAACUAUCAAAAUAUAUCAGGAAUAGGACGUGCUUACAAUCCGCAAAAGUAAAAGGAAUUAGAAGAAAUUGUUACGUGUAAUGAUCCGUUAGAAUUACUUUAAUGUUACUAGCUAAACUUCAUCAAUGAAGAUCACGUCAUUUAAUUAUAAACUGAAAUGUGUGGAAAUGGUGUAAUUUAGCUUAUCAAAUAGAGUUGUGUUUGGCACCGCUCUUUCUCUACAAGGUUUCCUUUCUUUUCCCUUGAAGCCACCUCCUAUCUGCAGUGUGUCCCUGAGGGGGAGAGGUCCCUUCCUCCCUUCCUCCCUCCUUCCUUUCUUCCCUUUUUCGAAGUUUUCCAUAUUUCUUUUUCUCCCGAUUUGUUCUAGGAGUUUGUGUAUAAUUAUAUUUUUGCAGCUGAUUUUGGAUGAGUGUGGAGACUAGCUUGGCCAUCCAUCUAGUCGACAACCACUGAGGAUGGUGUUCAUAAUAUGGCUCCACAACCUCUUCAAGGUUAUGCUGUUUUCUUCUCUCGAUUUGGACUUAGGUGAAGCUUGGGUUUUACUCUCUCAAACUCGAUCAAAAUAUAGAUAUGUGAGCUCCUUAUAAGUACUUGAUCCGUGUUCUUUCAACAUUUUGAUGCUGGUGUCUUUGCAAGAUAAUUUUGCAAGAUAAUGGUGAUGAAGACAUUGGACCUAGAUGUGCACCCCAAGCCUUUGCAAAUAAAGUGGGAGAUUUUGGCGUGUACUCAUGAUUGAAUCUAGUGACCAUCCAUCAAUCGUUUAUGGUGUCAAAGUUGUUCUUAAGGGAUGAAAGUGUGCUUCUAGCUAUAAACUAUACUUUCUUAUUUGCUUUCUAACUUUUGAUUUGUUUUGCAAUUAUUUGGGAUUUAUUAAGCUUGAAAGCCUUCUAUGUACCUCUCGAGUAUUAUUUUGAUAUAUGAAUAGUAUCUUUCUUUUCACAAAAAAUAAAUAAAUAAAUAGAGUUGCGCUCGUCAUUUACUUAAGGUACAAGUAGUUACAACUGAACUUUUGGACAGGAGACACGACAACCAGAAAGAUUACAUAUAAAAUGUUGCAAACAACCGACAACUAAAAAGUUUUACGUAUCAGAACUUUUGAAUUGGAAACAACUUACGAAAAAUAUGAUAAGAACAAAGAUAUGCACUAAAGAUGCUCUAAUACUCUCCUCAAUAUGAUCAGGAUACCACCUCGAAGAGAUUGUUCUUCAAAAGACGAAACAUAAUCAGUUGCAAAGAUGUCAAUUGAAAAAUCAAUAGUUGGAAUUGCCAGAUAAAAUGGAUAUUAAUGUCAAUAUACUUCGUGUGAGCAUGGAAAAGCCGGAUUAGCAGCUCGAUAAGUGGCUCCAACAUUAUCACAAAUGACUUCAACAGGUUUAGGCAAAAAUAUAUGAAGAUCAACUGAAAUCUGCCGAAUCCAAUCAAGUUUCUGCAACUCCAUCGGCGAAACUCCUGUAGCCAGAUUUCGCAAGUGGGUUGCUCUUUUAGCAUGCCAGAAUAAUGUCGGACCCAAGAAAAGUCACACAUCCAGAUGUUGAGACGAGUAUCAAGACAACCAGCCCAAUCAGCAUGAGGGAAACGUCACUAAGGUGCUGUCAAGUACGGCUUCAAAAAACAGACUACCAACUCAAGUUCUACUACUCACAUAUCGCCGUAUCCUGGCUGUGAAUUGCGGUUUUUGCUUUUCUCGACUUGAUUUAGUUGACCACUUAUUUUUUGGUUGCCCUAUUCCUAUUGCCUUAAUCAUUUUUUGGGCUGCUAGAUUUAAUUUCACUUGGCGGAAUAAAUCUUGGGUGGAUAAUCUACUCUGGGCGAUCAAGUACUAAUCCGGUGCUUCUUUUCGCUCCUCUCUUGCUCGGUUCGGGUUUGCUGCUCUUUGCAAUAUCAUAUGGAUGGAGCAGAAUAACAUACUUUUCCGGGGUAGACCUCCUUCCCUCUCCGCCAUGAAAGGACAUCUUGAAAGAGUUAUAAAGGAAAAAGCUUUAUCCUUCCAUCAUGUUCCUCCCACUGCUGCAAAUAGAAGACUGCUACAAAGCUGGGCACUCAAUCAUUCCAUUUUAGCGGACUAAUCUUUUUGUUUGGUCAUCCGGCUUUUGAGUAGGAGGUUUCUCCUUCAACCUUUAUUGUUCGGAGGUUUUUUCGAAUUCCUAGAUGCUGCUAUGGAAGCUUGGAGUGGAGGUCUUUUGCUCCUCACUAUGGCAACCGUCGCUUUCUUAUCUACCUGUCCUAGAGCGGGCUUUUGGGUUUCUCUUUUGUUUUGCUGUACCCUCUCUGGUCUCUAUUUUGGGGUAAGCUAGCUGGUUCUCUUUGGCUGCUGUUUAGUCCUUUCCUAUAGCCGCUUGGCUUAUUUCCGUUUACCUUGGCCCUUUUCCACUCGCUCUGACUUCUAUCUUUGUGAGUGCAAGUUUUUGGGUCCGAGAUCUCGCUGUAUAGCUCUAUAUAGCUUUCUGGUUUAAAAUCAAUAUAAUUCUUACCUUUACUAAAAAAAAAAAAAAAACGGCUUCAAAAAGAGUCCAUAAUCGGUAGUUCCAUAUAAAAAUCUAAUAAUGCACUUUACCGCUUGUAACUGAGGUAUACGAGGGCAAUGCAUAAACUGAUUCACAAUACUAACAGCAUACGAAAUGUGUGGUCUAGUGAUAGUUAAUUACUAUAAAGCCCCCCAUCGUGCUUCUAUGUUCGAUAGGAUCCAUCCAUAAAUCUUCUUCCACCGCUGUCCCAUUGGACUUUCUAUUUUUGGUAGUGGAUUAUCAGUGAUUUAUUUUCCCCUAAGUUUUAAUUUGAAUAUUUCUUUAUUAAUGUUAUGGUUUUCUUCCUUUAUAGAGAUCUUGAAUAGUCAACCCGCGCCUCUAUUAUUCUUUGUUGUUGUCAAAAUUUCUUGCAAAUCGUACAAUUUUUCUGAAUUUUGAGGCAAUCUCUUAAUCUGUGUAAGUACUUCUUUCUUUCUGAACUUCCGCUUGCUAUUUUUAUCCUACCGUUAUUACAUUUAUAAUCGGAGUACCUAAUCCACAUGUGAAAUUAUCUUUAUGAUUACAUUCUUGAAUUUCUUCAUCUUCCACUAAUUCAUAGGCGUAUUCUUCCUCUGUUUCUUAUGACAAUGACACAGUUUCUAGAAUUUCCAAUUGAUAUAUGUUCUUUUGAAUUUGCAAUUUGACUCAUAACAGACUACUUCUUUGUUUCUUUUAUUUAUGAAUUUCUUUCCAUACUUUUCUCUAUUGUUCUUAUAUGAUAUGAGCCAUUGAGAUGAAUGACAUGAGCAAGCCACCGUUCGGUGAAAAGUACAAGUUACUGUAAAGCAAAUUGAGCAUCCACCAGGCACUUAUAAAUGCAAAUGGUACUAUAAGCACUUUUUUUUUUCAGUACAUGACAUACAUGCAAGAUCAAAGAGAAGUUAUAUCACUUCAACAAAACUUUAUAUGUAUCUGAAAUAGUUAUUCAAUUAAUAAUAUCAAAGCAAACAUCAACGAGUUAGUUUAUUAAUCAAUCUAAUGCUUAAUAUCGAACUAUGGUCACGUUUAACACUCCGUGACGAGACCUAGCAAGAUUCCCUUUUGACGUAGGUCUCCACUUUAUAUAAGCUAGCGUCUCGACCAAAACAGGACAUAUUGAGAACUGUAUACAUACUCAUAACCAUUGAAUGGGUUCAAAUUAUAGCUGCAAGAGCAUAAACUCCUCCAACCAAUCACGUAAGUAUUUCGCCAUUCAUAAACUAGUUCACUAAUCAAUAUAUGUAUCGUUGCACAAUUCUUUCCAUAAGGAAGAAUGCAUUUCACAUGGCCCUUCUCAAACCAUAUCACAAAUAAUUAAUUUUCAAACUAUUUCAAGAGAUACUUUGCUAUGCCAUUUCAGUAACAAAAGCAUAUUCAAUGUUAGAUCAUGUUUUAUGCAAAAAAAUAUACUCUAAACACCACUGUUUUUUUUUUCCUUUUUAAAUGAAUAGCAUACCAUGUGUUACCUUUUUCAUUGCUUAUGGCAUAAGUAUUUUUUGUCAUUAUCAGGACAUGAGUUCACAAAUCACACAAUAAAUAAGCACCGCUCACCUGAAUAUGCGAAACCAAACAAUGAAAGCUACCUUACAAACAGAAAAAUCAAGUGAGAAAUGUAGAUUGAAAUUAAGUAUUAACUACCUCAACUAAAAGUACAACUAAGCUUAUUUGGCAACAAAACAACUCCAAUGUGCUAACAAAAAGCUCACUUAAAGUAGAACUCACGAGCGAUUUUCAAAAAAAAUGAGCUCUAAAGAAUUUUGUCACAAGUGGGUCCAAAGUCAUUAGAAAUUUAACCCGACCUUCGACCCAAAAGAGGUCCAGCAAAGGGUGAAAACUGGUGUCAAACACAGUAGUUCAUACAUGGUUCCAACAGUGCACAAUGAACUUCAAAAUUUCAUCCCGACCAAAUCGUACUCCCAAAUUUACUUCCAUAAAAUCCCAUAUUUCCGUGAGACGGUAAAUUUCAUCGCAAUAUGAUUUUAUAGCUCAACAACUUCUAGAAUCAACUCACCAACCUAAAUCCCAAAUUGAGUUGAAAUUAUAGCUUAUCCAAGAAAUUUUUUUCAAUUAGAUAAUUUAAGUCCUUGAAUUUUAUCGAACGGUUCGCAAUGGCGCUUAAGAUGACCUAAACCCUCUAUCUCUGUCUCAUAACUAUUCUACUUUCUCCUGUUAACCUAGCUCCAACAUUUACAAAUAAGCUGAAGGAAGUUAGUCCGUUGGGCUUCUAAGAUGGAGCUUCAUGGGAUAAAAUGAGAAUUGGCCCAAUUGGGUCUCUUGGGCCUAAACCCAUUUUCUUUUCAUGGUGGCGGCCUGUAAAGUCUUAGACACAGGAUGAGGGGAAAAUAAUGAAUGAACCCUGAGCAUUUGAGCUCGGCUCAAAUCGACCAUCGAAUGGUGUGGGCUCCUUGUGAAAGCUAACUUUUCACAGUUGCACCUGAAUAAUUAUGAACCUAAAAUUCAUUAUUUACAAUGCAAAAUUUCCCUAUAGAUGGAGUCAGGUUAGUAAUUGGGUAAUUAAAUGUGAGAUGAUUAGUCUAGCUAGUAGCGCCAGUGACCGCGUUGGAAUAAGUUGUCCUGGCGGUGGUGUUGAUGACCACAGCGUGGCAAUGGCCGUGGGAUCGGUGGCGCUCUCUCGGUCGCCCCAUUCCUAAUUUUUUUAAGUUUUGCUGUUUUGUCUUCUCCGUUUCUCUUUAUGCCAUUUUUAUUUUAUCGAACUUUAACUUGUAAACAUAAAUGGAAACCUAGACAUAAUUUUAAUAGACACGCGCAAUAGAGAGUAAUGAAUGAAAAACCCCGACAUGAUUAAACAUGAAAAGAGUUGAAUGAAAAUAGUAUUAUUAAUUAUAUAUAAUACGUGAAAAUUCUGCUAGUAUUGGAAAAAGAGUCACGUAGAAAUGGUAGAGGAGGGAUGCGAAAAGUAAAGCAGCAAAGCCAAUUUGCGUCAUGCAAUCUCUUGAUCUUUGUGGAAUUUUAAAGUUUCUUUCCAUUGGUAGUCUUUCUUUAAGUGCUUCACUUUUGCUUCACAUGUUAGGCAUAGAAAUUACCAAACAAGAUAGCACAGGAUAUCCAAUAAAGUCUUUGGGGUAUAUUCCCCGAAUAUUACAAAACAAACUGUUGUGCACAAAAAAUAUUUUAUUUUGUUGGCUAUAACCUCUAAUAGGCAUCUUUGAAAGUCUUGGUCUUUGAUUAAUCUAUGGUCGUUUGGUGUGGCAAGUAUAUUAUAUGUGUGUGAUGUUGUGUAGUGUAAUUUUCUAUACAUUAUAUGGUAUUAAUUGGUGAUUUUGACUUAUUCAGUAUUGCAAAGCAAGUUGCUCAAUGGACUAGUUGGUGGGGGAAAAUUAUUCAAAAUUCCUAAAUUUUAUUGCACUUUUUACCGAUUCAUCAUAAAUCUUUUAAUUAAGUCAAUUUUUUUGGUCAAAAUUGUAUCAAUUAAAUCCUUAACCUUUUCAUAUUUUGUUAAUUAAAUCCAUUUGCCCAAUUUUAAUCAGAAUUCAUUGAUAUUGACACCAGCUGUCCUAUGUAGCAGGACAACUAGCGUUGAUGUGGAUAAUUUUAAUAUUAUUUUAAUAUAUUUUUGGAAAGAUUCCAAAUAAGUGUCUGAAGUAUUUUCAUUUUCUAAAAUAAAAGUUUGAAAUAGACUUUGUUUCAAACAAAGACUUGAAGUGCCAUUGUUUUCACAAAUAAGGGCUUGAAAUGGCUAUAUCUAUUUCAAAUAAGAGCUUGACUGUUUAAUUACCUAGGGCGCGUUUGGUAACAUUUUUGUUCAAAAAUUGUUCUAGGGAACAGAAAUAAAAAAAAAAAAAAAAACUAUUUUUAUUCCGGGGAACAAUUUUUGAACAAAAGAAGGCGUUUGGUAAACUUGUUCCGGGAAUAAAAAAUAAACAGAAACACGUUUGGUAAAUUUGUGUUCUUUUUUUGUUUCUUUUAAUUUUUUAAUAUAUUUAUUUCUUUUUUCUUUUUUUUUUCUUCUUUUGGCCUGUCGUCGACCUCAGCCAUGGCCGGAGACCGGACGACAAGGGCCGGCGGCCUUGCCUAGCCACGGCGAGGCUCGCCGUGNNNNNNNNNNNNNNNNNNNNNNNNNNNNNNNNNNNNNNNNNNNNNNNNNNNNNNNNNNNNNNNNNNNNNNNNNNNNNNNNNNNNNNNNNNNNNNNNNNNNUGGUGCGGGGCGAGGCUAGGUGUGGCUUGGCCUCGCCGGGGCCACCCCCAGGCCGGUGAGCUUUCCGGUGGUUGGGUAAGGCGAGCCUCGCCAGGGGCCGGCGACGCUCCAGGAGGUCGCCAGCCCUAGACGGCGUCACCGGCUCUCAACGACCGGUGGUCGGCCAUGGCCAAGGCCGACGACCGGUCAAAGAAAAAAGAAAAAGAAAAGAAGAAAAAAAAGAAAAGAAAAAGAGUGGAGAGAGAAAAUUGUUCCAGAAACAAGAAACAUUUGGAACAAAGAAGAUAAUAAAAAAUAAUUUUGUUGAUAAACAAAUGUUUUUCUUGUUUCUCGUUUCUGUUCCAAAUGUGUUUCUAGGAACAAACAAAUAGAUUUGGAACAAAAACGCAAACAAACGCAUUUCUGUUCUUUUUUUGUUCACUGGAACAAAAAAAAUAGAAAUUUUGUUGAUAAACAGAAAAAAAGAACGUUAACAAACAGGGCCCUAAUGGCAUUUUCAUCAUCUAUAUUUUUUACGUUUUUCCUUUUUCUAGUUUUUCUUUCUUCUCUGUUGGUGGUCAGCUGGGCACUGGCAAUGCCCAAAGAGAGCUAGAUGAGGGCCACCCUCACCAGCCAUAAGUAAGGGAUGGCCUCCCCUUAGGAGAGACCACCUUUGGAACCAUCGGCGAGGCUGAUGAGGCUAUCUUCACCCUAGGGGAGGCAGCCCUCUCGACCAUUGGUGAGGUCAGCCCUCGCUAGUGGCAAACAAGGGAUGGCCUUGCCUAGGCGAGGCGACCCUUGCCUCAAGUGAGGUCGACGAGGGUCGUCGAGCCCUCACUAGCCCUUACCAGUCGUCGGCAAGGGCCACCUAACCCUUGUUGACCCUCGCUAGAGGUCGCAUGAUCCUUGCUCAAAAAUAUAUAAAGAAAAAAGAAGAUAAUAAAAAAUAAUUUAAAAUUAAAUUUUAUUUAGAUGAAGACGCCCUUUAACUAGUCAAAAUACAAAGUCGACCAACGAUUGACAUAGUUAGACCCUUAUUUGAAACAAUCAUGACUAUUUCAAGCCCAUAUUUGAAAUAAUUAUGGUCACUUUAGAUCUUUAUUUGACACAAAGUCUAAUUCAUGCUCUUAUUUGAGAAAAUGCUAGCACUUAGGCCAUUGUUUGGAAUUUUCCCUUUUUUAUUCAUUUGUUUUAUUUUCCUUUUUUCUUUUCUUAUAUAUUCCUUCUUUAUUUAUUUUUUUAAAUUUUAUUCUCUUUUACCUUUUUUUCUUUCUUUCUUUUUCCCUUUUCCCCUCCGCCCUUACCUUUUUUUUUUUCUUUUUUUCUUUUUCCCUUUUUCCCUUCGCUAGCCAUCACCUCGUCAAUGGUCAAUGAAAGGAAAAGAAAAAAGAAAAGAAAAGAAGAGAAAUGGAAAAAAAUAAGAAAGAAUUUCGAAAAAAUAUUAAUAUAUUAAUUGCUCAUGUCAAAACCCGUUGUGUCAUGUAGAACAGCCAAUGCCCACAUAAGUGAUUUCUGACCAAAACUAACUAAAUAGACUCAAUUGGCAAAACGUGAAGAUCUGUAGAACUAAAUUGACAUAAUAUUAACGUUUACAACUGAAUUGACAAAAAUACAAUAAGAUUAGAACUUUUGGACCAUUUUUCCUUAAUGAUUGUGCCAAACCUUUUUUGUUGUUUUGCCUUAAGUAAUUAUUUCUAUUUUCCUUAUCCAACACAGAACGUUAGCCACCCAUGAUGACUUGUAGAUGUAUAACAAAAACUAAGCUGCCAUUGCUUGGUGUAUCAUUUGUUUAUCUGAAGAUUCAGUCAGUGCAAGCAGCACAAAGAUGCUCAUUUGCCAGUCCCAAUUAUGAUGGUUAGCUUCAUUCAUCUUAAAAUAUUUGCUAAUCUUUUGGCAAGAACUUUACGUGUUCGUCCAGAUUAAAGGACUAAUCGAGCACCUUCUUAUUUAUCCAUAAUAUACUCAAGGUAAUUGUUUUCUUAAACAUUUGGGAAUUUCUAGGGCUGUAACGGCCACGAAAAAGCCCACGUUGAUUGCAUAUUCAACGAUAUGUAGAAAUCAUUAGGAUACUAGAAAUUUACAGAUGCAUUCAAAGCCAAAAAGCAAACAAAACACAGGUAAGGAAAGAAAAGAUGCGUGGACUAGGUCAUAUUAAAAAAAAAAAAAAAUCUUUUGUCCUCUGUUCUGGACGCCCAAAAGAAAAAGGUCCUCUGCAUCAAACGACAGCGAAAAAUCUUGAUAUGAAGAAAAAGGCGAACAAUUCACGAAAUAAGCACUUGUAGAGAGAAAAUAUUUUACUUUGAUUUGUCUAACCUUUUAUGUACAUCCUUGAGAGUCUUGGUCUCUGUUUAAUCUUUUUGAUUGGUGAAAGUUUUGGUCAUCUUGAACUCUAUAGUUUCUCUCUCCAUAGGCUCAUUAUCACCUAGCUUCACCAUAUCGCGUGUCGUUUUCCACAAUGACCAAUUCAACAUAUAGAGAGAUCGUUCCUGGGUCUUUCAUGGCUCCCUUCUUAUGCUAAUUUAUAGUAUUGUUAACUUUAAACAAGACAUAUAAUAUGUCAAAGUGCUAUUUGUACUGAAANNNNNNNNNNNNNNNNNNNNNNNNNNNNNNNNNNNNNNNNNNNNNNNNNNNNNNNNNNNNNNNNNNNNNNNNNNNNNNNNNNNNNNNNNNNNNNNNNNNNNNNNNNNNNNNNNNNNNNNNNNNNNNNNNNNNNNNNNNNNNNNNNNNNNNNNNNNNNNNNNNNNNNNNNNNNNNNNNNNNNNNNNNNNNNNNNNNNNNNNNNNNNNNNNNNNNNNNNNNNNNNNNNNNNNNNNNNNNNNNNNNNNNNNNNNNNNNNNNNNNNNNNNNNNNNNNNNNNNNNNNNNNNNNNNNNNNNNNNNNNNNNNNNNNNNNNNNNNNNNNNNNNNNNNNNNNNNNNNNNNNNNNNNNNNNNNNNNNNNNNNNNNNNNNNNNNNNNNNNNNNNNNNNNNNNNNNNNNNNNNNNNNNNNNNNNNNNNNNNNNNNNNNNNNNNNNNNNNNNNNNNNNNNNNNNNNNNNNNNNNNNNNNNNNNNNNNNNNNNNNNNNNNNNNNNNNNNNNNNNNNNNNNNNNNNNNNNNNNNNNNNNNNNNNNNNNNNNNNNNNNNNNNNNNNNNNNNNNNNNNNNNNNNNNNNNNNNNNNNNNNNNNNNNNNNNNNNNNNNNNNNNNNNNNNNNNNNNNNNNNNNNNNNNNNNNNNNNNNNNNNNNNNNNNNNNNNNNNNNNNNNNNNNNNNNNNNNNNNNNNNNNNNNNNNNNNNNNNNNNNNNNNNNNNNNNNNNNNNNNNNNNNNNNNNNNNNNNNNNNNNNNNNNNNNNNNNNNNNNNNNNNNNNNNNNNNNNNNNNNNNNNNNNNNNNNNNNNNNNNNNNNNNNNNNNNNNNNNNNNNNNNNNNNNNNNNNNNNNNNNNNNNNNNNNNNNNNNNNNNNNNNNNNNNNNNNNNNNNNNNNNNNNNNNNNNNNNNNNNNNNNNNNNNNNNNNNNNNNNNNNNNNNNNNNNNNNNNNNNNNNNNNNNNNNNNNNNNNNNNNNNNNNNNNNNNNNNNNNNNNNNNNNNNNNNNNNNAGUCUAGGUUUUCCUGAUGAAAAGUAUUUUAAUAGAGCAUAUUAUCACGACAAGCUGUUUGAGUUAGACCGAAGAGAGGACCUUGAUGCACAUUAUGUCCUUGAGUUUAGAUAAAUCAAUCGUUGUCCUUUUUCUCUAUAUCAAGACUUUUGGCUGUCGUUUGUAAGAGAUGGCCCUUUCUUUUGGCAUCAAAAACAGAGGAUAAAAGGUGAUUUUUCUUCAUAUGACAAACUGAGGGUGCAUGCAUAUCUACAUCUAGAAUUUAUAACUUCUAAGUGUGCUGUUAUUAUUAUUAUUAUUAUUAUUAUUAUUAUUAUUAUUAUUAUUAUUAUUAUUAUUAUUAUUAUUAUUAUUAUUAUUAUUAUUAUUAUUAUUAUUAUUAUUAUUAUUAUUAUUAUUAUUAUUAUUAUUAUUAUUAUUAUUAUUAUUAUUAUUAUUAUUAUUAUUAUUAUUAUUAUUAUUAUUAUUAUUAUUGGCUUUUACAUGUCAGCUAUAAGAGCUAAAAAAAUUUGCAGAAAGAUCGGCGGCAAUGAUCCGUUGCAGGGUGCUAAAGAAAAUUGAUAAUCAUGAAUUGCUUGUUAAGAGAAUUGUGAUCCUUUGAACAGACAAAGUUAGUCCAAAGCAACUUGCUUAAUGGAUUAGUUAAGAUGCCAUUGUUGUGUGGAUCCUUAAUAUUUUUUUUCAUCUUUCAAAAAUAUUUGUUUUAGUCCGUGCAAGUUGCACAAAGAUGCUUAUUGUAGUCUACGCCAGUUGCACAAAAUGCUUAUUUGCUGGUCCUUUAAACAAUGGUCUGCUUUAUUCAAUGCUAAAUAAAAAAAGGGUCAAGUAUUGCCAACUAACAAGGUAUAAUCUACUAGAGAUUAUACUCUACGCAUCACACUAAUGACCAGGAAAAUCAUGUGAAGGAUCACGAUUGUCUUAUCAAGCGGUUCCCUAACGUCAACUACUGGCUUAUCACCCUUCAGCCGAUCACUGCUGCUCAUCUUGCUGCAAAUUUUCAGCGCGUAACUGCCACGUAAAGACCUAUAUCGAUCGUCUAUCCACCAAUAGCGCAUAAAACAAAGACAUUAAAACAUACGGUCAUUGAGAAUGUAUGGAUGAAAAAAAGAAGAAGAAAAAAAGAGAAGCCAAUGAGACACUUGUAAUAAAUGUUUAACGAUAAUCCGCAUGCACUCUAAGUUGGUCAUGUGAAGAAAAAUCACAUUUUCUCCUCUGUUUUGGAUCAAGACUUUUGGCUUGUUUUUGAAAUAGGGGAUCUUUUCUUGUGGCCAUGCAAAACAGAAAAUAAGAGGUGAUUGUUUUCCAUAUGACCAACUUAUAGUGCACGUGUAUUUUUCUCCAAAAAGCUGUUGAUUACUAUUGGCUUUCUGGCUCUUUUAGCAGUCAUAUAUAGUCAGUAUCCUUGUUCCAAUAUCUUUAUUUCAUGCUUUAUUGGUGAAUAUGCGAUCGCGGCAAGCUUUCACAUGAUAGUUACAGUAUAAAGAAUUCACCUACAUUUGAGAAAAUAAUACACUCAAAUAAUUUGAGUAUGUUAUGGAAAUAUAAGAAGUUCCUCGGUUCCUCAAAUGGGCGCGAACAUACAAAGCUACCUUUUUCUUAUUCAACGGACAAAGGUAACAAAUGUUAACCUGGAGUAUGUGAACCCAAAUUCACUGUUGAAUGAUGUGAGCUCAACGUGGAAGCCAAUUUUUCACGAUGCCCGUGAGAAACUGAUAACCCUAGAAUUAAUCCUUUACAUAUGAAAUCGCCUCUAGAUCAAUUUAGGUCAGUUAUUAGGUAAUCAGAGGCAAUUGCCUGUGAUGGUUGCUCCGCUUAGAAGCGCCGGCAGGGACAGUAGUGGCGGCAUUGGAUGAGUUGCCCAGGCGGUGGUGCUAACACAACGGUGCGGCCGUGACAAUGGGAUUGAUGGCACGCUCUCUCGCCCCAUUCUUGCAUUUUUUUUUUGUUUUUGGGUUUUUGGGUUUUUCUUUUUCUUUCUUUUAUUGAACUUUAGCUUGGAAAGAUAAACGAAAAUGUAGACAUAACUAUAAAGACAGGUACAAUAGAGAUUAAGGAAUGGAAAACCAGAGUGACUAAAAAUGAAAAAAGUUCGACAAUAAUUGUAUUAUGGUAAAUUUUAAGCAAGAGAAUAACAAUCAAUACUAAUUGUCAAAUAAUAUUUCAUUCAAACAAAAAAAUCACUUAGAAUCCAUGUAAUGAUUGGAAAUUCUACUGGUAAUGGAAAAAAAAAAAAAAAAAGACAUUCACAUAGGAUGGAAGAAGCGAGAUGUCGAAAGCCAAGCAACAAAUCCAAUUUGCAUCCCCUGCAAAGUCUUGGACUUCCUGGGUUUCAUUAAAGUUUCCUCCCCACAUAGGGAUUGAACACGAUUUUCCAGUUCAUUAAUGUAAUGCUUAAAGAGUUAUUUUCAGUAGAUUAUAAGUAUUCGUCGGUGGCUUUCUUAACUUGUUUACUCUUUUCAGACCAAAAUAAACCAAGUUGCUUUAUGGAUUAGUUAGUGUGGCUGACUUGUAGAUGUUUAGGUGCAAAGAACGUUCUUUUGUUUUCCUUGUUGAUCAGACAAAAUUAGCUGUCUUUGAUGACUUGUAGAUGUGUAACAAAAAGUCUUGGUCUUCACUUAAGAUAUCUUGGGAUAAUCUCUAAACAUGAGGAGACAAGCACCCAUGGAUGAAAAGAAAUUUAUUUUUUAUUCCUCUAACUAUUGGCGUGCACCCUUCAAAGUCCUGGUCUUUGUUUAAUGUUUUUGGUAGGUGAAAGUUUUGGCCUUCCUAGACUUUAUAAUAUUCUCUCUCAACUAGCUUAUUAUCACUUUGCUUCACCAUAAUCCAUGCCCGUUCCCUUGCUCAACAGUGUUCUCCUCCAACACGUCUGAACCUAGCUCUCGUGCUUCCUGGAUUGCUGUUGUUGAUCUAAUCCAGUUCGCCAAUCUGCUCCAGGAAGUCCACUCGGAAUAGGUAAGAGAUAUCCAUCUACUUGCUUUCUUUUUCCCUCAAACUGAUGCAGCAAGUUUAACAACAAAAUCGACGGAUUUUGAUGUCAAAUACUUGCUGGCCAGAUUAAAGUUGUCGCUUGAUUGUUGAUAUGGCUUAGUUGUUUUAAUUAGGUGAUGCCUCUCCACGCAUACUUGUUUGAGCCCAAACUUGGACCUCUAUUUUAUGAAUUUUCAUUACAUAUUAUAAUAGAAUUGCAUUAUAUUAGUAUCAGGACAAUUAUAUUAGAAAACUCAGAAUUUUCAUGGACAAGCAUUAUCACGCACAUCUAGGCCAUUUAGAGUGCAUUAUAUUUAAUUGUCAUAUUUGCAUGUUUCCUCUCAUAAGUCACGAAGAGUAUUAUCGCCUCAUUCCUGCAAUUUUUUUUUUCAGUUAUUUAUUUUUUGCUCUUUUUUCUUAAACUUAAAUUUGAAAAUAUAGAUGAAAAUCUAGACAUAAUUCCAAUAGACAAGUAAGACAGAGAUUAAUGAAUGAAAAAUCACAAUAUGAUUAAAAAUGACAAAAGUUGGAUAAAAUUUUUGCCUUUUGUUAGUUUUGAGCGAGAGAACAAUAAUUAAUGCUAAUCGUCCAAUAAUAUCUCAUACAAAAAAAAAAAAAAAUAGCACCCAUGUAAUGCGUGGAAAUUUUACUAGCAAUGGAAAAAAGACAUUGACAUAGGGAUGGGAGAGGAGGGAUGGGAAAAGUGAAGCAACAAUGCCACUCUACGUCUCCAUAAGUCUUGGUCUUCACGGAUAUCAUUAAAGUUUCUUUCCCAUCAGCUCUCUCUCAAUUUUCCUCCCCUUUCGCGACAAAGAAGUUCAUGAUAUCUAGUAAAGUCUUGUUCUUCCUAAAUUUAUGGUUUGCUUACAUGAACAAGUAUAUGAUUGUGGAAACCACAAAUACCUUGGUAUAGUCUAUCAAUAUUACAAAACAAGCACUUGCAGACAAAAAUUCCCAGCAAGAUGGAUGGCAAUAUCUGCUGAAGGGUAAUGAAUUAGCAGUUGAUGAUCGAGAAUCGCUUGAUGGGAGAAUCGUGAUCCUUCGAACAUGAUUUUCCUAUUCACUUGGGUGAUCGGUAGAGUAUAAUUUUCAAUAGAUUAUACGUUGUUAGUUUUGACUCGUUCACUAUUUGCAGAGUAAAAUAAAGCAACUUACUUGCUUAAUGGAUUGAUUGUUGUGCCUAAUUAUUUUUCUUGUUCAGCUCAAAGCAAGUGUGUUUGUUCUCCUUAUCGAUUAGACAAAGUUAGCUGCCUUUUAUGCCAUUGUUGAGUGGAUCCUCAAUAUUUUAUAUUUCAAAAACAUUUAUUUUGGUCUAUGAAAGUUGCACAAAGAUGCUUAUUUGUCAAUCCUAUUAAUUGUGGUCGACUUCAUUCAUCACUAAACAAACAAAGGGGUUGGAUAUGCCAACUAAUCCAUUAAACAAGUUACUUUAUUUUACUUUGUAAAUAGUGAAUGAGUCAAAAAGCAUCAACUAACAAUGUAUAAUUUGCUAGAAAUUAUACUCUAUGCAUCACACUAACAGGAAAACUUAUGCAAAGGACCAUGAUUCUCCUAUCAAUCCCUGCUCGAUUAUCAACUACUGCCUCAACACUCUUCAAUAGAUCAUUGCUGCCCAUCUUGCUACUAAUUUUCAGCACUUCAACUGCCAUGUAAAAGCGUACAUUGAUGGCAUAUUCACCAAUAAAGCAGAGAGCAAAGACAUUGAAAUCAUCAAGAUACUGAGAAUAUACAGAUGCAAAGAAAAAAAAAAGCCAACAAAACACUCGUAAGUAGGAAAUUUUAAAGAUAAUCUACAUAAACUCUUAAGUGAUUUUCCUCUAAAAAUUUAUUACUUUGUUUUGUCAGCUUUUUUUUUUCCAUCCGUAUAUUCUCAAUAUCUUUAUGAUUUCAAUGUCUUUGCUUUCUAUUUUAUUGAUGAAUAUGCCAUCAAUAUAGGCUUUUACAUGGCUGCUAUUGUGCUAAAAAUUCUCAUAUGGUUAAGAAAAAUAAUAUACUCAAAUAAUUUGACUAUAUUAUGGAAAUAUAAGAUAUUCCUCGAUUCCUCCUUCAAAGUGGAUGAACAAACAAAGUUAGCUUUUAAAAGUUAGCUGUUGUAGAUUUAUAACAAAAAGGCUGGGCUUCCUGAGUUUAUGAUUUUUUUAUAUUAACAAAUAUGUGAUUGUAGAAACUACAAAAAUCUAGGGAUAAUCUCUAAAUAUUACGAGACAAGCAAAAUGGCUUCUUCUUUUAAAAAAAAAAAAUUCCUCUAACCACUAAUAUUAAUCCUUGAAAGUCCUAGUCUUUGUUUAAUGUUUUUGGUAGGUAAGAAUAUGGUCUUCUUGGACUCUAUCAUUUUCCCUCUCCAUUAGCUCCUUGUCACUUUGCUUCACCAUAACCCUUUUUAACUGAUCCACCCAUUUUCUCUCUCCAUUAGCUCAUCAUCACUUUGCUUCACCAUAAUCCUUUUUGUUCUCUAUAGUUGACUCAUUCACCCAUGGCCAUCGGGGAGAUUCUUUUGAGUGCAUUCCUUCAGGUCUUAUUCGAAAAUUUGACUUCCCUCGGAUUGGGCUAUGCACAAAGGGAAGGAGCACCACCCUUCUUUGGAAUCAGCACUGACCUGCUUAAUAAGUGGAGGAAGAUGCUAAACACAAUCUAUGUGGUGCUGGAUGAUGCAGAGGACAAGCAACUGAGUGGUAAAGGUCUAGUGAAACUAUGGCUGGAUGAUGUUAGGGACUUGGCCUAUGAUAUGGAAGAUUUGCUUGAUGAAUUCGAGAUCGAAGCUACUCAAGCCAAGUCGAAGGGAAAAUCUAGCACAAUUAUAGAUCGUGUGAAGUUUUCUUUCUUUAGCCAACAUAAAUCCUCUGAAUCGAAUCCAAACCCAUGCUCUCUAAUGUCUAAAACAGUAGUACAGAAGAUCAAUAAUAGGUUGGAAGAGAUUGUCACCAGGAAGGCUGAUUUAAGCUUGAGAGAGUAUUAUGUGGACAGAUCAGACUACACCAACAAAAGGCUACCAAGCACAUCUCUACCUGAGCCUCGUUUUUAUGGCAGGAAGAAGGAAGAAGCAGAUAUACUUGAACUAUUGAUCGAUGAUGCCAAAAAUGGUGAUACCACCAUGAGCAUUGUCCCCAUAGUUGGGAUGGGUGGUGUUGGAAAGACGGCCUUGGCUCAACGGUUGUAUAAUGAUACAAGAGUGAGUAGCUAUUUUGAGAGGAGAGCAUGGGUUUGUGUAUCAGAUGUUUUUGAUGUUCUUGACAUAACAAAGACUAUUAUGCGGUCGAUUACGGGGUAUUCCUAUGAGGGCGAAGAUCUUAAUGGGCUUCAAGUUAAGUUGAAGGACAAUCUAACUAGGAAGAAGUUUCUUAUAGUUUUGGAUGAUGUAUGGAAUGAGAACUACGGAGAAUGGACUACCCUCUUAAAGCCAUUUGAAGUGGGGGCUAAGGGAAGCAAGGUCAUUGUCACGAAUCGCAAUCGUACUGUUGCUUCCACAACAGGAGCUUUGCCAUAUCUAUUGGAGGAGUUGUCCCUUGAUAAUUGUACAAGCUUGUUAGCCUUUCAUGCUCUUGGAGAAACAAAUUUCGAGAGGCACGUAGAUCUUGAAAUAAUUGGCAAGAAAAUAGCUGAAAAAUGUAAAGGUUCACCUUUGGCCACAAAGGUUUUGGGCGGUCUCCUACGUAAUAAAGGGAAUUCUGAUGAAUGGGAAGCUAUCUUAAAUAACAAAAUGUGGGAUCUUCCAAGUGGAGAAAAUGAUGAGGCUCUUCGAGUUUUGAAACUGAGCUAUGUCCAUCUUCCCUCUUAUUUAAAGAGAUGUUUUGCUUAUUGUGCAAUAUUUCCCAAGGAUUACGAAAUUGAGAGGGAUGAGUUGGUAUUUUUGUGGAUUUAAGAGGGCUUUUUAGAUGGACUAAAAGCAAAGGAGAAUAUCUUGAAAUUGGGACGAACUCAAUUCGAUGAGUUAGUUUCCAGAUCAUUUAUUCAACAAUCAAGUGUAAAUGCAUCCAAGUUUUCAAUGCACGAUCUUUUAAAUGAUCUAGCAAAAUCAAUUGCAGGCGGAACGUCCUUUAGCUAUGGGGAGUUUCAGCUAGUAGGUAAUGAAGAUGAUACAUCUCUUGAGAAAGCUCGUUAUGCAUCAUUUGCUUCUUGGAGUGCUACAUCAAAAUGUAUGAGGGCGUAUCACCGGAUGAAGGUACUAAGAAGUUUAAUGUUUUUGCAUAUUGGAUUUAGUUGGUAUGACAAGUUCCACAUUUCCAACAAGGUGCUGCACGACUUGCUAACAGAAUUGAAAUACUUGAGGGUGUUCUUAUUAUGUCAUUGUUCCAUUGUAGAGGUACCGAAUUGUGUUGGUGAUUUAAAACAUCUUCGAUACCUCAAUUUCUCAUACACAAACAUUGAAAGUUUGCCAGAGUCAAUUGUUGGCUUGUGCAAAUUACGAGCUUUGAUCUUAAGAGAUUGUCAGAAGCUUUCUACAGUGCCUUCAAGUAUCACAAAAUUGGUCAGCUUACAGGUUCUUGACAUUAGAGAUACAAAGAGUCUAAAAGAGAUUCCACUAGGUAUUAGUAAUUUGAAAAAUCUUACUAUAUUGUCCAAGUUUGUGGUUGGACAAGAGAAAGGGUCGCAAUUAAAGGAGUUAAAGAACUUGCCACAUCUUCAAGAAGAAUUAUUCAUAUCAGACUUGCAAAAGGUGGACGAAGUUAGGGAUGCAAUUGAUGCUAAUCUGUUUGAAAAGCGAGGCCUUAGAAACUUAUUCUUGCACUGGGGUGAAACUUUUGGAAAUCUACGGAAUGAUAAGCGUGAAGCACAAGUGCUUCACUCUUUGCGACCUCAUACUAAUCUUGAAAAUCUCACUAUCUCCAACUAUGGUGGUGCAAUAUUCCCAUCAUGGUUAAAUGGUCCAUCUUAUUCUAAGAUAGUGUCUUUGUGCUUGCGAGGCUGUCCUCAUGUUGGAUCGUUGCCCUCACUUGGAGAACUCCCUUCACUUAGAAAAUUAUCUCUUGAGGGUCUACAUGCAAUAAGCAUGAUCGGCUCUGAAUUUUAUGGAAGUAAAAGGCCUUUUUUAUCCUUAACAACUUUAAAGUUCGAAGAGAUGUUGGCAUGGAAGGAUUGGUCUCAUUAUUCCAACAACCAAGAAGAAGUCCCAUUCUCCUAUCUUAAGCAUCUUGUAAUCCGAAGCUGUCCUUCGUUAAUUGGGACAUUGCCUUGUCAACUUGAUCAUCUCAUAAAGCUUGAAAUUCAUUCAUGCCCGCUAUUGAAUAACUCAACAAAUGUGAUUUGUCUUCCAUCUCUCCGUGAGUUAUGCAUUGAGGAUUGUAGCAAGGAAAUCUUAAAGUGCUCGGUCAACCUAACAUCUUUAACCACUCUCAAAAUUGUUAACCUUGCAGAGUUUGUUUGCUUUGAUAAUGGGUCUAUGAGUUGCUUGGUCAAGCUAAAGGAGCUCCAUAUAGCACAAUGUGACAAGCUAGCAUACUUGUGGCAAGAUGGAAAUGAAACGCAAAAUCUUACUUGCCUUCAAAGUGUGGUCAUCGAAAGCUGUCCUCAAUUCACAUCUUUUGUGGCAGGAGAAGAAGAGAUAGAGCUACCUUGCAACCUGAAAAUAAUGCAUUUGAAGGAUUGCACAAGUUUAGAAAGGCUUCCAAGCAAGAUUCAAAAUACACUCAAAAUUCUGCGGAUUAUUAAUUGUCCAAAAAUCAUUAGAAUAACCAAUCAUCUGGAUGACCUCAAUAGCAAUAACCCAACACCUCAAUUGAUAUCUUUGUAUUUUUUUAAAUGCAUGAAUCUAAGAAGCCUAACACAAUGCCUUUAUAGGCUAGGCCAUCUCACCAAUUUGGAUAUAAGAUUCUGUCCAGCAUUGGAGAUAGAGUACUUCCCUCCUCUUCCCAUCUCCAUGUCACGUUCCAACUUUGUGAUGCCCGAAGANNNNNNNNNNNNNNNNNNNNNNNNNNNNNNNNNNNNNNNNNNNNNNNNNNNNNNNNNNNNNNNNNNNNNNNNNNNNNNNNNNNNNNNNNNNNNNNNNNNNCGAUUUGAUGAUUGCAAAUAUUAAAUGCUUGCCUGAAGGAGGUUUGCCUCCUAAUUUGCGGGGCCUUUCAAUUACGAGGUGUGAGAAUCUGAAGCAACCAUUGAGAGAAUGGGGCUUACCCCUGCUCACAUCCCUCACAUUUCUACAUAUUGACGGAAGAAGCAUGGGAGGGGAGGGAGAGGAGGCGUGGUUUCCUUCGGAGGACGAGGAUGCAUGGAGUAUUCUCUUUCCUUCCUCUCUAACCGGUCUUGACUUUAGUCAUAUGAGGAAGGUGGAAAGACUAUCAAGCGGUCUUUGCAACCAUCUCUCCUCUCUCACCAAAUUAUGGAUUAUGGAUUGCCCGAAGUUGAGGCACUUGCCAGACGAUGGCCUCCCUCCCUCCCUCCAACAAUUGUACAUUGAAGAAUGCGAGAUUUUGAAAGAUCAAUGCUCAAAGCUCACUGGCGACUAUUGGCCCCUCAUCCAAGAAAUCCCUCUCAUCAUCAUUGAUGGCAUUCAAAUCCAAUGAAUUGAUUCUUCUAUGUACAGUUAGUUUUCGAGGGUUCAAGUAAGCUUUUGGUUUUGAAGGCAUCAAUUUCCGUUCUGCUUACUCAAUUCGUUGUUGGGAAUGACUGAUCCCCAAAAUACCGGAUUUGACACUAAAUCGAACCCCUAAAUCAAUGCGGAAGACGAAGCCCGGGAAAAAACAACACGCAUCACCGAUCCUAAAGCACACCACGGAUUCGAGCGUACCUUUUAGCCACAGAUUAAACACCGACGUUGAUGGAGGAAGAGAAACUGAGCAAUUCGAUCCGAUGAAGCCUUGAAAGGAGGAAGAACAAGCCGUAUGCGUUACUGUUCUUUCUUUUUCUUUUUGAGAGAGAAUACGCGCGGGAGAGAGAAGACGUGAAUUCUGAUUUCACGUUAAUGACUUUCUCUCUCUCUCUCUUCCCUUUUAUACCUCCCUCUUUCCACGGGCCUUAUUCCCAUGGGCCGGGCUUUCUGGGCCCAACUUUGGCGGAUGGGCCUUAAGCCCAAAUCAAAUAAAGCCUUCAUCUCCCACUCGCACAUGGUGGUCCAAAACCAACAUGGGCGGACAGGCCCAUAGACUCUCUCUUAACAUGGUGGGCCGAACAGGAUUCUCUUCACCUCUCUUCAACAUUCAUACUGGUGAAUAAUCCGUGCGACCAGCAUACUUUGAGAGCUCGUUACUAUACAUCUGUUAGGAAUAUAUAGCAGCUCAUAAUGGGCGUCACACUCCGAGUAGAUUUAGUAUGCAGUACCCUAGAUCGAUCGAUCACAUUUAUAUCUCUCUUAAUCUCUUUUAAACAAUGAUAUAUAUUGUAUUCACAAUUAUAAUUAUCACAAAAACAAUCAUAAUUGGUCGACCGGUGAAUACAAAAACUACAAUGUGAUUCUCCAAAAUCGAUCUUCCUCUUUCCUUCAAACUCUCAAUUUCAGUCCAGCUUGCUUUUUCUAAAAAUGCCCCAUUAGAUCGAAUCAUCUCAUGACCAUUGGCAACACCCUAAGAUAGCAAACACUAAAUAGAAAUCUUGAGAAUAAGUAAGAGUCCUGAGGGGACUAAAAAAUUGAGGAACUCUUUUCCUCAAGAGUCUCACACGUCAUAAAAGUUGAGAUCAAACUUUUUGCCACUCUUAUUGGUCGUCUCAUGCAUACGUAGUAUGAAAUAUGUAUUACGGUAUUAACUCCUUUCCCAUGGAGCGUAUGUCUGCACUUUUCAAUACCGUACAGAUGAUAGUUCAGACAUACCUAAUGUCUAACUUGAGUUCACAUAUCUACUCAAUCACAAAAUUCAUAGAACUCACAUCUGGAUCGUAGACAGAUAAAGCAAAAUAUGUGGGGUAUUUUACUUUCGGACAUCGUAAGUAUUAUGUCCUCAUCUUAACACUUAGUUAAUGCGACAUACGUAUUUUAAGCUUGAGCUCUCGAUUAUCACCUAGAUAAUAAGCUUAAAAUCAGUCUCAUCUCUAUUUAUCACACAGUAAACAGAGGCGAUUACCCGUGUGAGUGGGCUAAUCUUUUAUCUGUCCGACAUACUUCUCAACUUAAAAUAAUACACUAAGUAUUAAGAUGCAUAAAGAUCAUACAAAGAUUCAUAGGCAUUAUGAUGAAAACACAAAUUCAUCAAAUUGUGAACACUCAGGGAAAUUAAAAAAAUUCAGUACAUCAGCCUCUACGCAAUCCUAGAGAUUUCAUAUAGCCACAAAACACAUCUCUAGGUAUUGGCUUUGUCAUAGGAUCUGCUACCAUUCUAUGCGUAGUAUGUACUAUAAGUUCACAUCUUUUCGUGCAAUCAUAUCCAUGACAAAAUUAUACUUGGUAUCUAGAUGUUUGGUCUUGCCAUGAUAUUUUGGAUCUUUGGUGUACGCUUUUGCUGCUUUGCUAUCAUAAUUAACCAACAAUUAAUCUGCAGCACUUCUAAUAACACCUAAAUGAUCCAAUAAUCUCUUAAGCCAAACAUCUUCUUUUAUUACUGCUGAUAAUGCCACGAACUCAGUUUUCAUCGUGGACAAGGCUAUACACUUUUGUUUCUUACUACUCCAACAUAUGGUGCCAUUAUUCGGUAAGAAAACAAACUCAGAGGUAGAUUUUCUUUCAUCUAAAUCUCCUCCCCAAUCUGUAUCACAAUAGCCUUUGAGUUGCAGAUCCUUUCCUUAAUAACUCAACGUAUAAUCAGCAGUCCCCUUUAGAUACCUUAGUAUUCUCUUAACAGCUUUCCAAUGUGCUUGACCUGGAUUGGAUUGGUAUCUGCUCACCAUUCCAACUGCAUAACAUAUGUCAGGUCUUGUACACAUCAUAGCGUACAUCAAGCUCCCAACAGCACUAGCAUGAGGAACAUAUUUCGUUUGUUCCUUCUCUUGUGGAGUCCUUGGACACAGUCUAUGGCUCAAUCCUUCACCUUUUGCAAUAGGAGUGUCUUUGGGUUUACUAUCCCAUAUCCUUCAAUUCAAAGUUGGAAGACAACCGACUUUUGACAAUAUUGACAGGCUCCAUAUUGCUUCCGGCAAUUGGUAUAUCAUCAACAUAUAAUGAUAUGAUCACAAAUUGAUCAUUGGAUCUUUUGAUAUAUACACAAUGAUCCUCACUAUCAUUGUAAAAUCAUAUGCCAUUAUGGUAUUAUGAAAUCGUAUAUACCAUUGUCUUGACGACUGCUUAAGGCCAUAUAUCGACCUCGAAAGUCGACAUACCUUUUCUUCUUGGCCUUUCACUAUGAAACCAGCAGAUUGUUCCAUAUAUGUUUCUUCCUCUAAUUCUCUAUUGAGGAAAGCAGUCCUCACAUCCAUUUGAUGUAACUCAAGAUCCAUACCAAACACUAUUGCCAGAAUUAUGCGAAUCAAGGUAAAUCACACUACAGGAGAGAAUGUAUCUUUAUCAUCAAUAUCUUCCUGUUGAUUAUACCCCUUCGCCACAAGGUAAGCCUUAUGCCUUUCUAUCGAGCCAUCAGCCUUUCGCUUUAUUUUGAGAACCCACUUGUUCCCAAUAGCUCUGCGUCCCUUUUGAAAGACCAACCAGUUCCCAGACUUGGUUUGAUUUCAUUGACUCUAUUUCCUCUUUCAUUGCAUAAAUCCAUUUUUCCUUACUAGGGUAUUUCAGAGCCUCAUUAAUAUUUCUUGGCUCAUCCUUAUCUCGUGGAGCAAUUAUAAAAGUUUCCCCUUCAAUGUCAAAACGUCGACGGGGAAUACUUUGACGACUUGUUCGCUAUAUGGGAGAUUGUACACUUAGCACAUCAUUUCCCAUUAUGCUCCCACUCGGAUUAGAUAAUGACGAUAUCAUCUCAUCUUGUGGUUGUAAUUAAGAAUGAGUUGAAUUCAAUUCAUCACUUCUCAUAUUACUCCCACUUGGACGAACUCCACUAAUAUCAUUAUCUUGAUCCAAGGUUUCAAAUAGGGAGUAAUAUUCCCCUAUUUCGCCCUUCUUAGGAAAUUCAUCCACUAAGAAUGUGAUAUCCCGUGAUUCAAAUUUAGUUAUACUCCCACUUUCCUGCUCACCUACGAACACAUACCCUUUCGAGUGUUCGGAGUAUCUCAUGAAAAUACUCUUCUUUCAUUUGGGACCAUAUUUUCUAAAUUUGUGAGAGGAUUCAUUAUAGGCAGCACAACCCCAUGACUUAAGAAAACUUAAGUCCGGUUUUCUACAUGUCCAUAACUCAUAUGGAGUGGAACUAACUGAUUUGGAAGGCACUCGGUUAAGUAUAUAGGCAGCAGUUAACAACGCAUCACUCCAAAAAAGUGAUAUGUAAGUUAGCAUGCGCCAUCAUGGACCUAACCAUUUCCAGUAGGGUUCUGUUUAUUCUCUCUGCAACACCAUUUUGUUGAGGAGUAUUUGGAAUAGACAACUGUCUUUCUAUUCCUUUUUCAUCACAUAAUUUUCUGAACUUAUCAGAUAAAUAUUCUCGACCUCGAUCAGAUCUCAAUGCUUUUAUUUUCUUGUCUAAUUGAUUUUCAACCAAGUUCAUAAAUCUUUUGAAACAACUUAUGCUUCAGAUUUAUGAGAAAUCAAAUAGACACAUCCGAAUCGAGUAUAAUCAUCUAUUAAAAGUGAUGAAGUAAACAGUCACAUGCCUUCCUCUCACAUUCAUUGAACCACAAACGUCAUAAUGGAUUAAAUGCAGAGGAACGUCAGCUCUUUUACCUUUUCCAAAUGGUUUCCUUGUCGUUUUUCCCUUCUAAGCAAUGCUUACAUAUGGACAAAUCGACUUAUUCAAUAUUGCCCAACAAGCCCUUUUUGGCAAGUCUAUUCAUAUGUUGUUGGCCAAUAUGACCAAGUCUAGCAUGCCACACAUUCACAUCAUUAUCACAUGAAGUAAAAGACGUGAAACAAGGGAAUAACAUAUUGACAUCACCACAGUCAACAUUCAGUACAAUGAAACCAUCCAGAAAGUGACCACAACCAUAGCAGUUUGUAUCUAAACACAAAUCUACACCUAUAUUAUGGAAGUUCAUAUAAAAAAAAACAAGUUUAACCAACACCAAAAAACAGACGUUAAAUUUCGACGAAUCUCUAGAGCAUAUGGAACGUCAUGUAGGAACAAGAUGCGUCCACCACGCAUGUUCAAUUGGCAGGUGCCAAUCCCUUUAACUUCAUUUCUGGAGUUAUAUCCCGCAUAGAUCCACUUAGUUCCAGUCGGUAUCGUCGGAAUUCCACGAAGGAUUCUCUAUCCUUCGCUACAUGGUCUGUCUUUCCUGAAUCUACAGUCCACAAAGGAUUGAAUUCAGCCAAUAAUUCAGAACUUGACACAUAAUCAAAGUUCUCAAAUGUACAAGAGGUGUUUACCUUCUUUGGCUCACAACAGUCGCGAGCAUAGUGACCCUUCUUGUCACAAUUGUAACACCUCACCCUUGACAUUUUCUUCACUUGAGGACGUUUUCCUCACUUGUGUUGGUUAACUCUUGAUCUCUUGCAAUAAGGACUUGAUCCUUUGCUUUUCCACAUAUUGAACGAAUCAAUACGUUUGCGCUUAGAGCUCAAAGCCCUUUCUGAGCUAGAACCAGCAUAGCCAAUGUCUAUUUUCGGCUCAAAUGCCAAUAGGCAGUCCUCUACUAGCUUAAGGUGGCGCACAACAUCCUCUAGAUCUUCCAUAAUAUGGUCAAGAGCUUCUAGUGCUUCUAGCUUUUCCAGCACAUAUUGAAUCUUCGUAUUCAAUAUUCCACAAUCGUUGCCGUUCAUAUUAGCAAUUAUGUUCUUAGUUGCUGAAACCAUCGAUCUGAACACAUCAGACUUAUAUGCACGAAUUAUUAAUGCCUAUCAUUUAUGCAUCCUUAUUUACAUAGACCCAUCAUAUUAAUGAAUAAUUUCAAGUAAGGUUUCAGAAUCAAAAGGUCACUAUGUUUCCAAUCAUCCUCCAAAAUCCUAACUUAAAACUAUCAUCAAUAUAAUUGUCUUAUGCAAAAUCAAUUCUAUGAAGCUACAAAAACUUCUAAAACUACCCACAGCUAAUUACCCACAGCAACCAGCAAUAACAGAAAGCAAUAUAUAAUAGAACAUCCAAUAAAAAACAAUAAUGCUUUCAAUUAACACAAUUAGGUAGUAAUCAUUACAUAAUAUGUCCACAAAUCACACUUAACAUAUAUCAGCCAAUACAACUAACACCAAGUCAACACACGAACUGGGAAAGAUCCUCUUUUGUUCAAUUUCUUGAUCUUUUCCCUUGAAACAAUACAAUAAUAUUCAUUUACAAAAUCCAUCACAAUUUUCUUAUAGGAAGCAGCUCCGUUGACAUCCCAUAUGCGAUUCAACACAUCUUGCCAUUCAGGUGGAAGAGUCUUUAUGAAAAAUCGCACCAUCUCUGACUGUGACAUAGGACGACCAUUCCAUACGACCUGUUGAAUUUUCCCGUUGACUUCAAGGACAUGAUCAAUUAAGUCACCUCUCUCCCAUCGAUGAUCAGUCAGCUCAGCUAUCAUCUUAGACAGCCUAUCCUUUUGUUCAUCGGUAAUUGCGCGAAUAGGUGUGCGCAACCUCAAGGGAGGCAUUGUUCCUGCAACAAAUGCAGAACAAAUAAGGGAUCACAUUAUAAUCCACAUAGACUUAAUUGAAAAAGAAACAUAUUCUUUUUUUUUCGGGUCAACGGUCAAAGUCAACGGUCAACGGUCGUCGGUCAACGGUGGUCACCGGUCAACGGAGUUCAACGGUCAACGGAGGUCACCGGUCGUCGGUUGUCGCACCGGUCGGGUCGGACAGACCGGUCCGACCGGUCGGGCCGGUGGGCCCAGUUCGCGCGAACCGACGGCACGUGCCGUGCGUGUGCGCGGGAUGACGUCACGCAGACGUCAUCCGGCACGUGCUGCACGCGUGCCGGGUCUCGCGCGGGUCGGGUCGCCGGCCGGUGACCGUCCGACGAAGCUGACGUCAUCGAUGACGUCACCCUAGCGGUUAUUGACCGUUAGGUGACGUCAUGCUGACGUCAGCACGCGUCGGUCCGCGGACCGGCACGUGCCGGCUCGCCGGCCGGCGGUGCGCACGCGCCGGUUCGUCACCGGCGCGUGUGCCGCACGCGCUGGGCGACGCAACGCUUCUGAGCGCGUCGCGCCCACGCGCAGCGGCUUCUGGCCGCGUGCGGCGUCGCCCGGCGGCGCACGACGUACCUCCAGACUCGUCUCGACGUCGCCUUUCUCCCCAUCUUGUUAGAAAACAGUUUCGACAUACGAAAACUCAGUAAAAAGGCAUUAGAACGCUCGGGUGUCGGGAUUUUUGUCCCGAUCUGUACGGCCGAAAGUUUCUUCGCGAAAAGUCAAUCAAAGAACAUGAAAUUGAUCGGGAAAACGUGAACUAGGGCUCUGAUACCAAUGUUGGGAAUGACUGAUCCCCGAAAUACCGGAUUCGACACUAAAUCGAACCCCUAAAUCAAUGCGGAAGACGAAGCCCAGGAAAAAACAACACGCAUCACCGAUCCUAAAGCACACCACGGAUUCGAGCGUACCUUUUAGCCACAGAUUAAACACCGACGUUGAUGGAGGAAGAGAAACUGAGCAAUUCGAUCCGAUGAAGCCUUGAAAGGAGGAAGAACAAGCCGUAUGCGUUACUGUUCUUUCUUUUUCUUUUUGAGAGAGAAUACGCGCGGGAGAGAGAAGACGUGAAUUCUGAUUUCAUGUUAAUGACUUUCUCUCUCUCUCUUCCCUUUUAUACCUCCCUCUUUCCACGGGCCUUAUUCCCGUGGGCCGGGCUUUCUGGGCCCAACUUUGGCGGAUGGGCCUUAAGCCCAAAUCAAAUAAAGCCUUCAGUUGCUUAAUAUGAACUCAUUUUUCCCAUUACUUUUUAGAUUAAUCUAUGUAAACCAGCCAUUGGAGGUCAAAGACUGACAUUUGCGUGGGUGUUCUCAUUGGAAUGGAUCGGCUCUGUUUCGUUGAAUAAUAAAGUGCAGGACAAAAUGCUUACGGUGCUGCCUCUUGCUAUAUAAAUGACAUAUCUUUGACUCUGCUUGAUGCCCAAAAAGUUUGCUUAUUUUGCACUCGAGCAACCCACCAAACAAAUUGUGAAUGAAAGUGCACUAUGCUUUGCAUGAAAAUCACCAAGAAUCAUAACGUUCCACAAUCAUAUUCCCCUGCAUUUUCAGCAUUUGUUGUGUGUUCUCUUCCCAACAUCUUCUUUUGUUCUAGCUCAUUCACUGUGGUUGUUUUGCAGAUACCAUUAUGAUAUGUGUUGGCAAAAUCUCUUGAAAGGAUCACUUGCAAAUGUUGUUGAGGUAGGGCUAAAGCUGUCAAUGUUAUGUGCCAAAUUUUGCAACUCGAAAGAAAGAAAAGAAGUGUUGGAUUUUAUUUGGUGCGCUAAUAUGUUCUAUAUGUUCUUCUAGUGAAAACUAAAAGGAUGAUUAGUUAUGGGAGGCUGUGAUCUGAUUGUAAAGAAAGGAAAUGCAGUUUCUUUUUUUCUUAAUGGUUUUCUUUAGAAUUGAGAACCUUCUUUUUGUCAAUAAUUAUGCUUUGCAGUAUCAGGCAGUCAAUCUGGAAUAAAAUUCUGGGGCAGCCCAUUGCUCGAAGCUUUCAACACAACUCCACUUCACAACAGCAUUGAUAUUCCGUAAAUCUCCUUCUGUUUGGGUCUUCAUCUUGGGUGGGUUAGUAACUAUUACUUGUAGCUUGCUAGAAAUUUUUAGUCAAUAUACUUGUGCUUGUUUGGUUGAGAUUGUAAUGAUAUGCUGCUUGCCUCUGUGUUUGAAUUGUCAGUAGUGACUUUUGAGGCAAAUCUAUUCGGUUCUUCAAAGUAUCAAUUGUUUUCUCUUACUCCACCACAGAGUAUGAAUUCAUCGUAAAUUAUGUCAUUUUAUCUGAAAAUAACUUCGUAUGGCAUUCUUCCUGUGGAGAGUUCCCGAGCAAAAGCUUCGAUUUCACUUGGGUUCCUUUGGGGUAACUAGAAAUCUUGUGCUUCAACCAAUUUAUACCUUGUUUGAUGGAUCUCCUCCCUCUCUGCCACUAUGGCAUAUGCCGAAACAUUUGUUGAAGCAAUUUUAGCAUGACAUUGUAAAGCUCUAAUAGAGGUUAGUCAAUUUGUAAUAUGAAUUGUAGUUCACUUUGUACUUUCUCUGAGGCCUUUUGGAUGUUAUUGCAUGUAUAACAUGGUGCUUUGACCAUAUGAAUAGGUGGUCAGAAAAUUAGAGUUGCAUUUGCCAGGAUAACUUUCAAGAAACCUCACAUACUUUUGCUUGACAAGCCAUCCAAUUAUCUGGUAAGUUUUACUCAUUUUUCUCUGCCUUAUGAUUUUAAUUAGUUUUUCAGUUAGUUAUUAAUGUUCUUGCACUAAUUGAACUUAUUGGAAUGUGGUCUUUACAUUGAAAAUAAGUUAGAACCAAUGAGUGCUCAUAGCUACAGGGAGCCUCUGUCAUCAUAAAUCUAAGUCAUAAUUAACGAAACCAAUCUAAUUGUUCCAACUUGGAAAAUAUUGGGAAUAGAACAGUCAUGCUAGCCUGAUCAGUUUUUUAGUAUUGGAGUAAUCUAUAACACAAAAUAGUUCUGAUAUCUGUCCCUAUAGGUACUAGUGGGCUCUGCAUAUAAUUAAUGUGUUCCUCUUUUUGUUUAUAAAUGUGGUCUUCAAGUUCUGCUUUAAUGAUCAAUGAUUACUACAGUAUAAUCUUUGUAAGUUGUUUGUUUCUUCUCUAAGGAUGAGUGAGUAUGAUUCUGCAUUGUUGCACACCAACAACUGUAGGAUUUGGAUGCGGUUGAGGCACUCAUUCAAGGUCUGGUCUGUUCCAAGGAGGAAUUCUGAUGGUGAGAUUGAUAUUCUUGUCAAAAUACUUCAAUUUGACCAAUGAUGGAUCAUUUUCACAGCUAAUAGCCCCCCUCUUUCACCUUGAUAUGCAGGUUAGUCACAAUGAGCAUCUAAUAACUGGAAGCUUGGAUGAUGUCUGGAUGGUUUCUCAAGGCAAGGUAGCGCCUUUCCAUCGGAAUUUGGAGGACUAUAGGAAGAUAUUUUAGUUUUGGUCGAAUCAGAUGAAUCUGGUUAUCGUUAUCAACUAAGAAUGGUUCACCGGGUUCACAUUACCUUACAAACCGAAAAUGAGGCUUAGCUAUAGAGAGAAAGGGAAAAAAGACAAAAAGAGGAUUGCUGCGGAUAUACAGGAAGGAUUCACAGUUACACGAGCCCAUGUUUGUAAUUUAUACUUGAUUAGGGUUCGUGGAGGGAUGAAUCUAAGUUUUUGACAUUAAGCAUGCAGCAUCAUCUGGCAAUAGCUCAAGAACUGAGUUGGGAUUGCAGUCGUGGUAUGAUUUACAACCCUUUGCGCAUUUUUCCCUCGCAAUGGAUCAUUUGUUGUGCCCCUGGAAGUUUUAUACUCUGUCACCGCAGAAGGCAGCUUUCUAUACACAGUAGAAUGAUUUAAACAUUUGCAAAAGAACCAUGUUAGCACAGUACAUUAUUUUGUAGGAGAGUGAGAGUAGUUUCCAAGAAAUUAGUUGUAUUAAUAUAUUUUUGUUGUUCGGCACUAUUUAGGAAAGUUAAUUACGAAAAUAUAAUCAUGGUCAACAAAAACUUUGUACAAAUACCGUUGGCCUUGCCUAGGCAGAAAAUGCUAUAAUGAAACUCUGUACAAAUACCUGAAUUUGUUAGAUAACGUUCUGGUCAAUAUUCAAAAUAAGAAGUUUUCUUUCUUCCAACUGCUACGAUGCACAUGGAAGAACGGCACCGAAAACAGAGGGUUUUGAAUAUGCUAAUGUAACAACUAAAUUCUGAAUGAGCCGUGCAGGUCAAAACCUAUUUCACAAACUGGUUGCCUGGUCAAAGAUUAAAGUUCAUCUUUCUUUUAUUUAAAUACCCACUCCAUCUCUUGGCAACAUUUUUAGCGGUCCUACAUCUUAUAUUUCCUGGGCAGGAGGGGAAACAGGAGGGAGAUCUAUAGGUGUGGCUACACUCUGGAUUUUACUUUGAGGAUUUGCGUCCGCUAUGAGAUAAUCUUAUUCCAAGAAGAUCGUCACAUAGCACCAGUAAUGACCAAUUCCCUGAAGUAGGCAAGCCCCAUUACAAUUUCCCUCAUUAAGGUGCCAAAGGUCCAGAACCAUUCACAUGCAAAGAGAUACGCGCACUACCAUUGCAAAUGGUUUCAAUCUCGUGAGCUCCCAUGUUGAACUUAUAUCUUGAGUUGGAGCAGAUGAAGGAAAUUUGAUCCGGAAAGGAAGUGUGCUUCUAUGGCUUCAUGAUAUACGACAUUGAGGAAUGUUGUUACAUGAGUUCUAUUAUUGGACACUUCUGUUACAUGAUAAAAGUUAUUGCCAGCUACAUGACCUUUGUGCCAUAACAAUCAUUUUCAUGUCAAGGAGCAAAAACUGUUUUCUACUUCUUCAUCAUCGGAACCUGCUUGAGACAUUGUCUCACGAACUAUUUUCAGCAGUCUUUUGAUCUGAAGCUGCCGCAAGUUGAGCUUGAUGUUGACUUUUGUUGAGGAAAAAUUGAGUUUGCUCUGGUAGUCUGCGACUUUGACUGAGUAGGAUUUGCAGCGAACCAUAAACGCUUCUUCGUUUGCAAAUUACGGGGCAAAUUUUGCCCACCAUUUAAUUUUUCAAUUGUCUUUUAAGCGUAGAGAAUGUCACGGUCUAUUGCACAUUAUCUAACAUGUGAACAAUCAUCUCCAUCUCUUAGAAGUAUCUAACAUGUAAAGAUGAGGAGGUUCUUGAACAUUUCGAGUGAACUAAUUAUCUCCAUUUGAAAACUCUGGAGGUAAAAUAUGAGAACCUGGACCAAAUUAGAGUAAACCAGCCUUGGAACCAAAUAGGACUCGUUUCCAGAAAUUUUUUUAUCAAAGAAGAAGAAACAUAAAUGAUCAAAAAAAUUUCUGACUUGAAAAGUUAUACCAUGUUUGCAUAUAAUCGUAGUAACUAUAUGAUUGAGGCUUACAUGAAUUCAUAAAAAGUUCUGAUUUUAAGAGGAUGAUCUGUAAUAUAAUGAAAAUCUGGAGGGAUGUGACCCAACAUUAUUUUUAUGACCGAGUUUUUAAAAGUUCAUCUAGGAUUUUGUUUGUUCGGAGAAAAAUAUUUUAAUCAAAAAUUAUUAUUUUCAUCUUUCACUAUAUAGAGGGGUAAAAAAUGCUUGUCAAAGGAAAUUACUUCGGUCAAUCAGAAAAUCAAAUCAUAUAUAUAUAUAUAUAUAUAUAUAUAUAUAUAUAUAUAUAUAAACAACCUUUUAAUUUUAAAAGUCGAAGUACAAAAAUAGCAUGGACACAAGAAUCUAAGCCGAACUAUUUUAGGCAAAAAUAAAUAAAUAAUGGAGUUCCUCUGGUUUGCUGUCACAAGAAGUUGCCGCCGGAUAUAGUGGUGAUUCCUUGAUUUACAUGAGGGGGAUCACCACUCAGAUGAUUUUCCUUUUUGUUAUUAUGUAUAAAAUCUUUUGAUUGAUUAGUUGAGGCGAUAUUGAACUCACUAAAUUAAGACCAACUUGACCAUAUAUAAACCCAUGUCAACUUGUUUAAGAUUAGUAGGGGAUAAGAAUGUCGAAUGAAAGAGAAAAUCAACGUCGGUUCAGUUGAUUUGAGAAAAGUAAGAACGUCGUUUCAAGUUGUAUGUCUACAAGACUAGAGUAUGUUUUCUUCGCAAAAGAUAGUAUAAAAGUUCGCUCCGAACUUUGCUCGUUUGAAUCAAUUUUUACAUGACUUUCCAGAUGAUUUUACCAUUUAUGAUUAACUUGUUCAUCCUGAAUUUGUUACACCAUAGAUGAUAAAUCGAUGAAGCUCCACUACUACCUAAUAUCAGUUCACUUGUUUCCUAAAAUGGACUCGUUUGAUUUAGUCGAGUCUAAAUAAUAUUUUCUCAUUCUUUUAAUAAACAAAGUACGUAUCUUUUCAUGAUUUACUAGUUUGUUAUUCAGAAAGGGACAGACUGAAUGUUUCGCUAUUUACCUACUUUCCCCCUUUUUCUGGACUAGUAAUGGAUCAGUUGCUCCAUUUGGUUUUUCUUUUGGUCUUACUUACCCAGCCGGUUGCCUUAUCUUGGUGUAAGAUAAUUGUGGUUCAGAGGUUCAAUCCGAUCAAGCUGCGGCAAAUUCCGAUUGCACACUGUCGAUUCUCAAGGUAUCACAAUGUCUUUUCGUUAAAUUUUUGUUGGUGAUAUUAUUUGUUUGUCGAUUGGCUGCUGUUUUUGUGUCGAUGAAUGAGUUGAAGAAGAACUAGUUCGAGAGAUAAGUCCCCGUUUUAGCUAUUAGCAUCAUUUUUCGGAUAAAGUUGGUUAGGAUCACCGAGUUUAUUUGAUGAGUGGACAUAAAGCUGAUUUAUGCCUGCUUAACAUCGUCUGCUUAGCUGGCCAAGCCCCUUUCGUUGUGCUUUUUGAGUCGUUGAAUCGAAUUUCAAAAGGUUCGCUGGAUUUUUUUUAUUUAUUUCGAUACUCGUUUCUUUUCUGGCUGGAUACUGCUCAACUAAAUCUGUCCUAAGGAGCAAAAUUAGCAUUUGCAGAGUGAAUUGGGAAUUGGUUUUAGCCUAUAUCUCUCUCAUUUUCAUCGAUUUGAAGUUCCCCUCUUUUCGAACUUGCCUGUUCUAUCUAGCUUGACUCUGAUGGGAUUUUGUUAUCUUUAACACCAAAGCUGCUAGUGGUUCAUCAUACGCUAAAUCAUUUGUAAACAUAGGAAGCAUGAUGAAGAUAAUUCAACGAUACAAUACGAUAUCCUUGAAGUUUUUCUAGUUUCUUUAGCUAUACGGCUCUAUGUUUUGUUUGUUUACCGACUAAGACGGUUCUUAAAUUGGUGGUUGACACCUCUCACUGAGAAUCCAAAUCAUAUGCUAAUUAAGGGCAUUUCCAUCAUUUUGUUUGCUUGAUCUAGGCGUGGAUGGUGAGGACAUAACCAAUUUUGACUGUGCUUUCGUCCAGAAGAUUAUCAGCAUGAUGUUCACCUACUUGAGACUAAGGGAUAAGGUGGUCCUUCUUCUAUUGAGUGGCAAAAAUUUAUCUUUCUUGCAUAAUGAGAUGAUAUAAAUGUCACAACAGAUUGCUCUUGCGCCAAUGGUCGAGCCCCUUCGGCUAUGUAUUUCUAAAAGAAAUGACUGGAGAGUGAUUUUCCUUUUUGGAGUCAUCAUGGCUGUUAGAGAAAUUAACUCUAAUUCUGUGAUUUUUUUUUUCUGAUGUUAGGAGUGAUUCUAUUUGUUUUAUGAGAUUGGUUAGAAGCGUAGCUGUAUGUUUUUGUAGUUGUUACUAUAAUUAGCUCGAGAGGUGUUCGUUAGAAUGUCCUAGAAAAACUUGAGUUGAAUAGCUUUUGGGAUAAUCAUCUUUUAUACACACACACUUUUGUACAAAGUGGAGGUGUGAGAUUUUAUCUCUUCAUUUUUUCUAAUUCUUUGCUUAUUUGAGUUCUUCACUACGUUCAUCUUGGGUAUAAUGUUUAUCAUUUCAACUUGCUCAAAAAAAAAAAAAAAAACUUGCUCGAUAUCUUUUUUGUGUAAUUCUAAUAAUUAGUUGUCUUAGUGCUUAUAAAAAAAAAAAAAAAACAAGCUUUCUAAUCAUUGUUUACAGAUUUGGGACCUUAUAGCAUCUCCUUGGAAAUUUGAAUUCAAUGAAAAUGCAUUUAAAAUUUGAUAAUAUAGCAUGAAAAUUCCUUAUAUGACGUGAAUAAAGUAUGUCUCUUUAGGCAAAUUUUUCUUUUCAAACAAUGAAAAGUAACAUCCUGUUCAUUUUCAUAUUUCAGCCCAAACGUCACAAAUGUUGCUAUUUUCCUGGUUGACAUCUGAAUUUUCUCCAAUAAAUUUAACAUACAUUCGUCUAAAAAUUCAAAUAUAUAAAAGAAAAAAAAUAAGUUCAAAUUAAAAAACAAGAGAGAGAAAAUAAAAUGGUAAAAACUCAAGCUCACCAGAGGAGGUUCAUAGAUCUUGUCCAAUUUGCGCAACCCAAUUCGGCCCAAAACUCAUCAAAUACGUAAAGCCCGCUCAUCAGCCACACCAAGAGGCCCAUCAGCCCAAAGCCCACGAAAGGAAUCAAGUUCGGCCAUUUCUUUUGGCUUUUCCUCUCUCUCUCUCUCUCUCUCUCUCUCACCUUCGGAAGCCCCAAAGGUCACGCAGAGGAAGGGGUUAAGGGAAUUGAUCCUUCGCUGGUUUUAAUAUCCUGCAUCUCCGCCGCGUCGCAUUGGCUUCUCCGGUCUUCAUUACUGGAAAAUCUACUAUGUGCUCGUUCAUACCCCUGAACUGUAUUGAUAUGCAUGUUUGAGGACUGUUUCUUCAUUUAAGAUAUCCCAUUGUGUAGUGCGUACUUGAGCUGCGACAUUCUUCAGCAUACUUGUCAAUUUACUUUCUUCAGUUGGUUCAAUGCAAGUAUGUAUAACCGUCAAGUCUCUCAACACGCUGUGCUGACCAACAAUUUAGAGAAGUUGCGCGUGGAUUUGCUGUAACCAGCUUAUACUCAACCGGUAAUGUUAAGCUCAUUGAUGUUUAGAGCGUAUGUGCUAUUUUAGAACUGAACGCGUCAAUGGAUUGCAAAGUAUACAAUGGUCGUAGUUUGUCUGCCGCUGCUUUGUCGAUCAUGCGGCCACAGGAAAUCCACUCUUAUAGAUUCAAGCAGUAUGCAGAAAGCUUGCACUAUACUUUGCUCUCAGCAAAGGCGGCCAUUAAGCUCCACGAAAGUGCUCCCAGAAGACCUGGUAAAACCAAAGUAAUGAUCUUCUUCAGUAACCAAAAAGUGGGACGGAGUCACCGCAACAGCCAUCUAGUUCGUGAAUAAUGUCCCUACAAAUGAAAGUAAAUGCGAUUUUUUACGUGAAAAAAACGCCGUCCAUAAAAACAAGAUAAAAAUAAAGAGAAAAUGUACCGGGUAAUUCCGUAUAGAGGUUUGAUGAGCCGUGAUAACUGGUAACGCAGAAGAACCAGAUAUCAUAUCACGGCUGCCUAGUCCAGCGCAAACGGAUCGCUAGUCCUGUUAAGUAUCAGAGCAAACGGAAGCUGAUCAGCGCAAACAGAUUGUUAGAUCUAAUUUUCCAUUAAGAAAACCUUCGAUCUAGAUGCCAAUCAUCUUUCGAAUAAAAAUGUAUGAAGGGCCCAAGACACCUUGAACAACAUAAAUCAUCGCAACUGCAACUUUGUCCGGGGACAAGUUAACCCCGAAAAACUCUACUGAGCUUGUAUAGUUCUUUUCUUCCGAAGAAGAUUUUUUCUGGAAGUGGCUGUUUCUUCGUCAGUGUUUGUCGUCAACGUAUCCCCGUUCCUACACCUAAAUUACUAAUGGAAAAGGAUAAGGAAACACGGCAUCAGAUCAGCAGUGGCAUUAGGGAAGCAGCAUCAAGUUUUGUGGAUACAUGUUAGAGAAAAGACAUGUUCGUGAGUAAAAUCUAACAGCUGCCAAAACGAACAAAAAAAGAAAAAAAAAAAAAAAAAAGCCACUUCAGAUCGGUGACCUUGACAGAGAAGUCUGCUUCGACAUAGGUUGUAAAGUUGCAUCAAAUAUACAAGUCGACUCUUUUUUCAUGUUCGAAAAGAUUGAGUGACAAGCUUGCGCUCAAUUCCACGCAACCAAGAAGCAGCACAUAUUUGGCCGAUAAAAUUCGAUAUUUCAGCAGGUUUUUUACUUCGCUCGAGCAGUAUUUUCCGUUGCUCGAAGAAUACUCUCGUCUCUAUUUGUGGAACUUCAACUAGAUUAGACAGGUGAUAGAUCAGCUCAAAUUAUAUCAGAGACGUGCAUGAGCAAAGACGAUCGGCCAGGAGCACCAAUAUCCAGCAGAGUGAAUUGAAUUAUAACCAUCACCACUUAAACCAGUUAAACGAGCAACAACUACAUUGCCAAUGUCACGUAAGUGGGUACUUAACAAUCAUCCUAAAUUCAGGCAUAAAUUCCCCAAAAGGAAAACAAAUAUUUCACCAAAGAACAAAAGGCUAUUAUUAUUAUCCACAGUUGGGGUAAAUCGGUGAGAAUAACCAUCGGAGACUGAAAAAUUUUGACGCAAUAAAAAGUUAACGAUUCUGGAAUUCGGAAGCCAAUCACGAUCCUCUUUGAAAUGGCAAGGCGCCGCCGACAUCAGGACGGCAGCGGCAUGCGGUUGCCCAGUGGCUCCGGUGGACUUUUCCGGGGAGCACGUCUCCGGGAACCGAGCGUCGAGGUUCGACGACGUCCUGCGAGAUGGAGGACAAAGGUAGAAUCUUCGGGGAUCGGCAGUUCGAAGAACGAGAUGGUUGUUAGGAAUUUUAUCUUGUCGCCUUUUGGAUGGUUGGAUUGAUUGAACUGCCCUCCUCGCGUGGGAUUAUUCAUGGGCGGACCUUGGUUGUCACUGUAUUGAUUAAAUCACCUUUACCAAUGCAAUUUUCAUAACCGAAAAAUCGUGGCAAUGAAACAUUUCAUAGCUAAAAAAGUACAAAUUCUUUUUUGGCCACCAUUGUAGCCACGGUUUUUUUUUUUUUUAGUGACCCAAGAACCGCUGUACAGCCGACAGCCGACGACGUAAAUUCGGGGCGGUGCCGCAGGGACCCACCUCCCAUGACGUCACAGGUUAGGCGAGCAAUGCGCACGCCGGGACUCGAACCUCCCCCCUUCCGCAAUUAGAGGGGGAAAGGCCCAAGCCAGCACACCCACAAGCGGGUGGGUGUAGCCACGAAAGUUUUCGUUUAUAUUUUCGAAAGAAAUUUGGUUAGGAUCACCUAGUUCAAUUGAUAAAUUGGUCUCAAUUCAGUCCUAAACCUUUUGAUAGUACUAAUUUAAUCAUAAAUCUUUUGAAUUUGUGCUAAUUUUGUCUUAAACUUUUUGAACUAUUGCUAAUUUAAUUCUAAACGUUUUGACUUGAUGUUAAUUCAGUUCUUCUAGUUAAUUUUGAUUGUAUAUUGCUGACAAGGAUGCUGGCCAGCUUACGUGGCAUUGUCGAUGCUGAUAUAGAUAAUCUUUAAUAAUAUUUCAAUAUUUUUCAAUUUUUUUUGUUCCUUUUUACUAUUUUUUCUUCUUCUUCCUUUUCCCAAUGACUGGCCACUGGCCACGGUUGAACAAGCUAGCCUCACCUGGUCAUGGCGAGGCCGAGUCUCGACGAGGGUCGACCUCACUGGAUUUGGCUUAGGCAAGGCCGACCUUCCCUAAGCGUCACCUUCGCCCGUGUUUUCUUCUAGAAGAUUAUCAGCACGAUGUGCACCUAUUUGAGACUAAGGGAUAAGCUGGCCAUUCUUCUAUUGAAUGGAAAAAGUUGAUCUUUCUUGCAUAAUGAGAUGAGAGAACUGUUACCACAGAUUACUCUAGCACCGAUCUGCGAGCUCCUUGGGUUCUGUAUCGCUAAAAGAAUUGAUUGGAGAAUGAUUUUCCCUUUCAAAGUCAUCAUGGUUGUUAGAGAAAUUAAGUCUGAUUCCGUGAUUUUUGAUUUUCUGAUGUUAGGGGUGAUUCAAUUUGUUUUGAGAUUGAUUCUAUGAAGAUGGCAAGAAUCGCAGUUAUAUGGAUUCGUAGUAGUUGCUAUAAUUAGCCUGGUUGGUGUUCGUUAAAAUUUCCUAGGGAAAUUUGAGUUGAUUGUCACACUGGACAAUCAUCUUUUGUGAAUGAUAAAUGUGUCUUCACUUUUGUGCAACGUGCAGGUGUGAGAUUUUAUCUCUUCAUUUUCUAUAGUCCUCUGCUCAAGUUAUUUUGGGCAGUUCCAAUAAUCAGCUUAAGUAAGCUGUCAUUGUGUUUGGUAAGCUUUCCUAGUAUUUGCUUUACAAAUUUGGUACCUUACAGCGUGUUAUGAAAAUUGAAUUCCAUAAAAUUGUAUUUAAAGUUGAUUAUAUAACAUGCAUAUCCCUUAUAUUGCACGAAUAAAGAAUGUCCAAGUUUUCCUUUUUUAACAAUGGAAAAUAAUUUCUAAUACGGUUCCAAGUUUUAGCCAAACAUCAGGAAAUAUUAUCAUUUUCUCAAUUGACACCUGAAUUUUCGCUGAUAAACCCAGCACACAUUUGUGUAGAAAAUAUAAUCGUAGUUAAGAACAAAAAUAAAAUAAAUAAUUACAAAUGAAAAAGAGAGAAUAAAAUGGUAAAAGUCAAGCUCGCCAGAUGAAAGUCAUCAAUCUAGUCGAAUCCGUGCAACCGCUUCGGCCCAAAACUCAUCAAAUAGGUAAAAGCCCGCCAGUCCACACUUCGCACAGGCCCAGAGUCACAAGUCUGAGCUGAAGGAACCAAGCCCACAGAGGAUUUGCGUUUUCUCCCUCUCUCGCCCGAAGCUCCAUCUCCACCAUUCGAGUUUCACAAUGGCCGAUUCUAGUAUUCCGCCAUCUCCACCGCCUCGCAUCGGCUUCUCCGGCCCUCAGACGUAACUCUUCCAGUUCCUCCCACGGGGAAAAGCUUUCUGAGUUGUGCCGAUAGCUCUGCGGUUCCAGCCUCGACUCGUCUUGAAUUUCCUGCAUUCCCUUGAAGCUUCUCAAUCUCACUCGAACUGGAGCCAAUCGUAGCCAAGCGCCUCCCUCGCUCGACAACUUCAUUAUCGUUUGUUUUUGUCACUGCCUCCUCCUUCGGUUUCUAUCGUCUUCGUUCUCCGACGGAGGAGAAUAGCCGUGACUGAAACUCGAUCAGAAUUGGAUUCUUCACUUUGAGCUCUUCAUCAUUCGGUUACUGCAACCAUUUUGAAGGUAAGUCGUCUCUCAUUCUCUGGAUUUCAUUUUUCAAUUCGGUCAAUAGCAUCGAUUCUCGGCCUUUUUCUGAAUUUCCAGAGACCUCUUCAUCGAAACUUCUUCUCUAUUUCCCUCCAGACACUGUCAGCCACUGCCAACCGCAACCGAUCGUCACCGUUCCCAUUUCCACGGCUGCCGUCGGAAGCUCUGUUCGCCCCUGUUCUCCGUCACCGAUGCUGAAGUUCUCGGACCGCAGUCACCACCGUCUCUCGUGACGGUUCCAUUUCAUGAAGCCGCGUCUGCGAUCACCUUACCAAGGUCCGAUCAUUAAUCGCCACAGGUAAUCAUCCCUUAUUCAAUCGAAUCACAUAUGCUCUGUUUCAAGUUGCUCUACGUACAGACUACUGCAUGGGUAAAAUCUACUAAUUGCUUUGUGAUCAUCUCGUUCACAUAACUGAACUUAUUGAUAUGCAUAUUUGAGGUUGAGGUGCUUUUCUGUAUCUUCAUAUCAGAAUUGUGCAGUGCGUGCUUGAGCCGAGAGAUUCAUCAGUAUAUUUAUCGACUUACUUUCGUCGAUUUGUUCAAUGCAUGCCCGACCGUUGCUCUCAACACGUUGUGCUGAUCAACGCUUUAUAGAAGUUGCGCUUGGAUUUGCUGGAACCAGCUUAUACUCGACUGGUCAAGUUGAGCAAAGGUGGUCACUGCAGCAACCAUCUAGUUCGUGAAUAAUUCCCCUAGAAAUGAAAAAAUAGGUGCAAUUCUUAAGAGAAACGGCCGCGGUCCGUGAAAACAAGAUGAGGAAAAGAGAAAAUGUACCUGAUAAACCCGUAUAGAGGUUAAACGAGCCAUGGUAAAGCAGAAAAACCAGAUGUCACAGCUGUAUAGUCAAGCGCAAACAGCUUGUUAUGUUAAUCCUGAUAAUUAUCGGAGACUGAAGCUGUUCGGCUGCUUAGAAAGACACUCCUUUGUAGAUGCCCAAAAACAAUAAAAAUAAAAACCAAGCCCACAACCAGACUUCUUAAGUACGCGCGUUUCUCUCUUCAUACUGCCGGAACAUACGAAUUAAAUGUUCUCGAAGGAGUCCUAACCAAGCCCACAGCCUGACUUACUGAUUGAAUGUUCUCUAUUUUAUUUUGUGGUGUCCCAGUUUUGUGGGUUUUCGAUUGUUGAAUUGACUGAAUUGACAUUCUCUUGUGAGAAUAUUCUCGGAUGGGACUUCGGUUGUGAGGUAAUUAGACUCGGUUUCCUUCGUUAAUCGAAUGGCAGAUUUUUUAUUAGUUUGGCUUUUUAGUUAGGGCUUCUAGGUGAAUUCGAAUUCAAUGCGACCAUGUGAACAUCAUGUUGAUAUAGCUAAUUCGAAAUUAAUAUGAUUUGACUCUUUUUGGAUACUUUUUGGUGAAAAGGGCGAUUCCUCGUAAUAAUUAAAAUAAAAAAAAUUUAUAUUGAAAAUUUCAUGAUAAGAGAAAGUAUUUUUCAUGAAAUUUUGAUUUGUUUAAUAGUUUAAAAAAAAGAAGUGAUUUCCUUCUUGUUAUAAACGAAAUGCGGUUUUUCCCCAAUUUAAAAUUGUUGCUUUUCAAAAAAUAUUUUUUUAUAAAUUAAUUAAUUUUCCGUCAUCUAAACUUUAAAAAGUCAAAAAGGAAUUUCCCGAAAAAUAACUUUCCUUCGAACAAACAACCCUAAGUUUAAGUAAGUUCAGCGACUAUUUAAAAGAAAGGAUCUUGUAACUCUGUAGAAGACUACUAGAGACGUUGGCAGAGGCUUUCAAACACGCCCAGGCGCCCCCCCCCCCCCCACCCCCCUAUUAAUGGGCAAGAUCGGAGUCACUUGAAUCUAAGUUUAAUUCAGCUCAGAGAAGUGCUAAGAUGUUGGCAAGAGGCCCUUGAACAGGCCCUCUCUAUCUCUUUAUGAGCAAAAUUAGCGUCACUUAAAUCUAAGCUUAGUUUGACGAGUAAGAAACUAUCAAAAUAUUCGGAACAAGACAUGCGCUUAAAAUAUCACUAGAACUAGAGGAGAUUAUUACGUGAAAUGAUUCCCUAGGAUUCAAGAAUUGGACGUGCUCUUACAAUAUCACUAGAAUUAAAAGAAAUUAUUACGUGAAAUGAUUCCUUAAAAUUACUCCAUGUCACUAGCUAAUCUUUAUGAACUAAGAUCUUAUCAUUUCAUUGUAAGUUGCAAAAUGUGAAAUUGGUGCAAUUCAGCUUGUCAAAUUAAUAAAUAAAAAAAAAUAGAGAUGUGCUUGUCAUUUUAUAUACAGUAUAGGUAGUUACAAUCAAAUCUUUUGCAAAGUAUACAUGGACACUGAAAAGAUUACAUAUUAGAAAUUGAAAACCACUGACCAAUAAAAUUACAUACAAAAAACUUGUAAUUGAAAAAUAAAUAACAAAACAUAUAUUAAAGAUACUCUGAUAGUAACCCUAAAUUUGAACUAGGUGCCACCACAAUGAGAUUGUCCUUCAAAAGAUUAAACCAAUAUAAUUUAUAAAAGUGUCAGCUAACUAAUUAGCAAUUGGAAUACAUAUUGAAAUAAUUUCACCAGAUGCGAUUUUGUCCUGAAUAUCAAUGUGCUUGGUGUGAGCAUGGAAAGCCAAAUUAGCAGCUAAAUAAGUGGCUAUAAUAUUAUCACAUAUGAUUUACAGCCGGUUUAGGUGAAAAUACAUGAAGAUCAUAUGACUUCUCUAAAAUCCAAUAAGUUUCUACAACUGCAGAGGCGAAAACUCCUGUAUUCAGAUCCCGCAAUGUCAUAUUGUACCCAAUAAAAGCUAAGUAUCCAGAUGCUAAGUGAUGAGUAUCGGGACAACCGACCCAAGAGCAUGAGUUAAUGUUACCAAGGAGCUGUCGAAUGAUGGCUUCAAUAACAGUCCAUGAUCAAUUGUUCCAUUAAAAUAUAUAAAAAUGAGAUUAAUCGCUUGUAAGCGAGAUGUUUGAGGGCAAUGCAUGAACUGAUUCUCGACACGGGCAGCAUAAGAAAUGUCGGUAGGAUCCAUCAGUAACACACCAUCAUGUAAAGAAGGUUGAGACUUAAAACUGUAGAAGAUUCCUAGUGUAAUGUGUUCGAGACAGCAAAAUUCCCGUACCUCUGGACUGGUCCUCAACGCCAAGGAAGAAUGCGAUGGAAAAAAAAACUUUCAUGGUAAAAGCAAAAAGAAGUUUCCGAAUGAAACUAUGUAACUCUGUGGCACUACUACCUGUUAAAAGAUUACCAUCAACGUGACGUAGUAGAAUCAAGAUUCUAGAGCUUGAAUUAUGCACAAAUAUGAGUCAUAUGCCUUGCUGUAAAUAAAAGUGUUCGAAUGCUUAAAGAAGAACUCGCCUUUGACCUAAAAGAGGUCCAUAAACAUGCGAAAAGUAGUGCUCAACACAAUAAUUCGAAUCUGAUUCCAACAAUGCGCAGUAAAUUUCAAAAUUUCAUCCCGACCAUACCAUAAUCCCAAGUUGACUUCCAUAAAAUCCCAUAGUUUCACGACACACCAAAGUUUCAUUACAACAUGAUUUCAUAGCUCAACAACCUCUAGAAUCAGCCUAGUAACCUAAAACCAGAAUAGAAUUGAAAUUGCAGCUUAACCUAUAAAAUUUCCUUCAAUCGGGUGAAUUAAGUCUUUGAAUUCUUCUCAAGCGCUUCACGUACCACAUUAAUCCAAUGCGUUAUGAACUUGAACUGAACCCUUUCUCUCUCUACCGCACAGUUCACUUCUCUUUUCCAGUUUUCUUGAUUCUUCUUUCUCCCUCUUGACUAUUCCUCUUUUCUCUAAUAAGCCAACUACAACAAUUAUAACUAAGCUGAAGGAAGUUAGUCUGUUGGGCUUCAAAGAUGCAGCCUCAUGGGCGCAAUAAAUGAGAAUUGGUCUCUUGAGCCUAAGUCCCUUUCUUUUUUUCUUUUUUUUUGUAAAGGGAAGACUAUCGUUAUGGCUGCAACUCUGGUUAAAGUCUUAGACAUGGAUGGGGGAAAUUUUUUGAAUGAACCCAGAGCCCAACUUGCAUCCACUAUUGAAUGAUGCGAGCUCCACGUUGAACCCAACUUUUCACGGUGCAUGUGAGAAAUUGUGAAUCCCGAAAUUCAUUCCUUCCAUUGUGAAUAUAUCUAUAGAUUAAGUUAGUUAAGUCAUUAAGUAAUUUAAGGUAAUUGGCCGUGAUGGUUAGUCCAACUAGUAGCACCAAUUGCUACGGUGAUGAUGGAAUGAGUCAUCCUACGGAGCUGUUGACGACAUUGGCAUGCCAUCGGCCGUUGGAUGGGUGGCGCUCUCUAUGUCGCCCCAUUCUUGAUUUUUUUUUUUUUUCAUUUUCAGUUUUUUGCUUCUUUUUUUUUUCUUAUUUGCUUUUCGUUUUGCCUUUUUUCUUUUAUCAUACUUGAACUUGUAAACAUACAGUAAAACCUAGAUAAAAUUCUAAUGGAGAAUUACAAUAGAGAUUAAUAUGAUGAAAAACCCCUAUGAUUAAACAUGAAAAUAGUACAACGAAAAUUAUAGUAUUGUUCUUUACCGAAAACAAAAAAACAAAAAAAAAAACAAGAAAAAACAAAAAAAAAAUUAUAGUAUUGUUAAUUUCACAUGUAACACAUGUAAAUUUCACUGGCAAUGGAAAAAAAGACAUUCACAUUGCGAUGAACGAGAGAUGUGAAAACUGGAGGAACAAAGCCAAUUUGCAUCCUGCAAAGUCUUAGUCUUCUUGGAAAUGAUUUUUCUCCCAUUAUCACUUCUUCUUCUUUUCGCAAAGUCUAGAUCUUCGUGGUUGAUUAAAUUUUUUUCUCCCAUUAUCACUAUUUUCACAAAGUCUUGGUCUUUCUAGAAAUGGUUAAAGUUUUUCUCCAAUCAUCACUUUUAUUUUUUUGCAAAGUCUUCAUCUUCGUGCAAUUGAUUAAAGUUUCUCUCUCAUCGUUAGAGCCGUUAAACGGGUGGGUCGGGUCGGGUUUGGGUCGGGUCAUUAAUGGUCCGACCCAAAUUGACCCAUUAACCCAUUUAUGACCCAUUAAUGUUUAAUGUAAAUUUUUCGACACAAACCCGACCCGACCCAUACCCAACCCAUACCCGACCCGACCCAACUCAUAUUAAUAAAAUAUUUUCAUAUUUAACAAAUUUAGAAAAACUUAUUCCCAUGUUUUUUUUAAAGAUUAUAUUAUUAAAAUACUUCCAAGCUUUUAUAUAUAUAUAUAUUAUUUUUUUUUUAAAAUUGUAUUGCUAAAAUAGUUUUAUACAAUAUAAAUUUAAUGGAAAAUUUUUAUAAAUUUUAAAAUAAUUAUUUAAAAAAAAAUCGAAAUUUAAUUAUUUAAAAAAAUUAAAAUUUUUAUUAUUUUUAAAAUAUAAUUUUCUUUUUCUUUUUCUUUUUCUUUUUCUUUUUUCUUUUUUCUUCUCCUUCUUCUUCUUCUUUGGCCGGCCGCCGGCCACGACGACGGCUGGCGACCGGCCACGACGACGGCCGGCGACCGGCCACAGGUGAGCCUCGAGCUCGAGCUCGCCGACGCCGGCGAGCUCGAUCUCGCCCGACGCCGAGAGCUCGAGUCUGGCCAGAUCGGCGAGGCUCGAGCCUCGCCAGAUCUGGCGAGCCUCGAGCUUGCCGACGCCAGCGAGGCCUCCGCCUCGCCAGAUCCGGCGAGCUCGAGCUCGCCCCUCGCCGGAACUGGCGAGGCUCGAGCCUCGCCCGACGCCGGCGAGCUCGAGUCUCGCCAGAUCUGGCGAGCCUCGAGCUCGCGGACGCCGGCGAGGCCACCGCCUCGCCAGAUCCGGCGAGGCUCGAGCCUCGCCCGAUGCGGGAGAGCUCGAGGCUUCGGCAGAUCGGCGAGGCUCGAGCCUCGCCCGACGCCAGCGAGCUCGAGGCUCGCCAGAUCGGCGAGGUUCGAGCCUUGCCGACGCCAGCAGGCUCAGGCUCGCCAGAUCAGCAGGCUCGAGUCUCGCCGGGCGUCGGCGAGGCCUCCGCCUCGCCAGAUCGGCGAGCUCGAGCUCGCCCGACGCCGGCGAGCUCGAGGCUCGCCCUGGCCCGGUCGCCGGGCUGUCGUCGUGCCGGCGACCGGAAGGAGGAAGGAGAAAGAAAAAAAAAGAAAGAAAAAAAAAAAAGAAGAAAGAAAAUAAAGGAAGAAAAAGAAAAGAGAAAAUAAAAAUAAAAAAAAUUAUAAUUUGGAUUUUUAUAAAGUUGAAGAGAGAAGGGAGGAAUUAUAAUGUUUUUGUUAAAGAUGAGUUUUCAACCCAACCCAUUUAAAAACCCACUUAAGACCCACCUAUCUUAAGCCUAUAAUUGUGAAACCCAUUUAAUUAUCUUUUGUUAUAAACAAGUGACCCAUUUUAACACCUCUACUCAUCGUCACUUUUUGUCCGGCAAAGUCUUGGUCUAUUUGGAAUUUAUUUAAAUUUCUCUCCCACCAUCACGAAUUUUUAUUAAAGUGCUUCACUUUUGCUUUACAUGUUUGAGUGAAAAUUAUGUAAUUUUGCUUCAACUUUCCCAAAAAAAGACACAUGAUAUCUAGCAAAAUCUUUGGGCAUAUUCUCUAAAUAUUGUGAAAAAUGCACUUGUGGACAAAAGUAUUUUAUAUCGAUUUCUCUAAUCUCUACGUGCAUUUUUGAAAGUCUUGGUCUCCCUAUAGUUUGUAGUUUUCUCUUUCCAUUAGCUCAUUAUCACUCAACUCUUGUUUUUCUCUUUAGUGACUGAUUCACCCAUGACCAUUGGAGAGCUCUUUUUGAGUUCCUUCUUGGCUUCCUUGUUGUACUAAUUUCUAGUAUUGUUAAUUUUAAGCAAGACAUGUAGCAUGUGGAAAUGCUACUAGUAAUGGAAAAAGAGACAUUGACAUAGGGAUGGAAGAGGAGGGAUGUGAAAAGUGAAGCAACAAGGACAAUUUGUGUCCUGCAAAGUCUUGAUCUUCCUAGCAUUGAUUAAAGUUUCUUUCCCAUUACCGCUUUUUCCCUUUGGCUUCACUUUUUACACAAAAAACUUGAUGAGAUCCAGUAAAGUCUUGGUCUUCCUAAUACGCCAAAAAGCUUGAGUUAGAUGGAAGAGGGUAUGUUUUGAUGCACAUUCUGUCCUCGAGUUAGAUUGUUCCCCUUUUUUUUCUUUUGACCAAAGCUCAUGAUUUUAUCUUCCUUAUCAAACAAACAAACAUAACAGUCUUUGAUGACUUAUGGAUGCAUAACAGAAAAUAAGAUGCCAUUGUUGGCUUUAUCCUCAAUAAUUUAGGUUUCAAUUACAUCAACAAAGUGGAGAUCCUUUGAUGCGAUUUUGGCCCCAUGAUGCAUGAGGAACUGUUGGGGAGGCAUAUGUUGGCACGAGAUGGCUAGCUGCAGAGUCCUUGCGACAAGUACCAUGUCAUGAUGGAGUUUGACAUAAUUUUGAGCCUUCGGAUGUAGAUGUCCAGCUUCAAAUUCAUUAUAUGGUCUUAACUCAAUUCUCAAAUUGUUUGUGUACAGGCUCUUAAUAGUGCAUGAUUGUAAAUUCUCUAGAAUCAUUAUAAUCAACCUAUACACCAACACAUAAUACUAAUUCGCUUCAAGUAAUAUUAGAGGAAAGGCAUAAUACUAAUUUGUAUGCUCACUCAAAAUAAGUUGGUUGAAUCGCUCUCAAAAUUCUAAAAUCAUAGAUAAUCUAGAUUCAUUGUCUAGAAAAUAUUCCAUACCAAAUGGUUUGUUCUCCCCAUUGAAAAAAGAAGACCAAUCUUGCUUUAAGAAAGCAAAAUUCAUGCAAGACAUGCUAGACUCCAACUUGACAUGAUUCGAUGGCUCUCUCUCUCUCUCUCUCUCUCUAAUUGGUUAAACCCCCUGAGUCGUUCCAUAUCCACACACAUUACAUGUUCCGUUCAUGCAUAUUUAGAUUCUCAACUUCUGUUAAUUCUUAGAACCUACAAUAUCUAAAACAUGAUUGAGGAAAGCAUUCGAAAUAGUAUGGACUAAAUUUAUAGUAACCAAUUAGUGCCAAACACAAUAGUUCAAAUAUGGUUCCGACAGUGUGCAAUAAACUUCAAAAUUUCACCCCAACGAAACCGUAAUCCUAAGUUGACUUCCAUAAAAUCUCAUAGUUUCAUGACCCCAAAAUUUCAUUACUACAUGAUUUCAUAGCUCAACAACCUCUAUAAUCAACCUUGCAACUUCAAACCCGAAUGGAAUUGAAAUUACAACUUAAUAUAGAAAAAAUUUCUUCCAUUAGGUUUAUUAAGUCUUUGGAUUCUUAUCAAGCGCUUCUUGUACGACAUUAAUCCAACGCAUUAAGAUGUACCCAGCGAACUUGAACCGAACCCUUUCUCUCUCUAGCGCGCAGUUCACUUCACUUUUCCAGCUUUCUUGAUUCUUCUCUCUCUCUUAACUAUUCCUCUUUUCUCUGAUAUGCCAACUACAACAAUUAUAACUUUCUUUGGAGCAACUUGCUUUUGCUGCGGGUUUGAGGGUUUAACGUCGUUGGGGGCUGGUCCGUUCAGUGGUUGCCGCUUUUGCUGCUGUGUGGAAUGCUGCCGGUUGCUGCUUCCCCUCACUGUCCCUUUUCCAUUCCUUUUUUGCCAUUGUUUGGCUGCCCUCUUUUUGCUGGUUGGCUGUUUCGCUGCCUUUGUUGGGCUGUUGUGGCUCUUUUUCUUGGGACCAUUCCACUUGUCUUGACAUGUAAGUCUUUAUGAGUGUAAGUUCUUUGGUGGCGAGAUCCAUCAGUUGUACAUUUUGUGGUUAAAAGUCAAUAUAAUUCUUACCUUACCAAAAGAAAAAAAAAACAAUUAUAACUAAGCUGAAGGAAGUUAGUCUGUCAGGCUUCAAAGGUGCAGCUCCAUGGGCGUAAUAAAUGAGAAUUAGGUCUCUUGAGCCUAAUUCCUUUAAAAAAAGAAAAAAGAAAAAAAGAAAGACUCUUUUGUUGCGGUAGCAACUAUUGUUAAAGUUUUAGAUACAGGAUGAGGGAAAAUUUUUGAAUGAACCCAAAGCAUGUGAGCCUAGCUCACAUCCACUAUUAAAUGAUGUGAGCUCCACAUUGAACCCAACUUUUCAUGGUGCUCGUGAGAAAUUGUAAAUCCCAGAAUUCAUUAUUUCCAUUGUGAAUAUAUCUAUAAAUUAAGUUAGUUUAGUCAUUAGGUAAUUUAAGGUGACCGGUUGUGAUGGUUAGUCCGGCUAGCAGCGCCAACUGCAACGGUGGUGAUAGGGUUGGAAUGAGUCAUCCUACGGAGGUGUUGACGACAAUAGCAUGCCAAUGGCCAUUGGAUGGGUGGCGCUCUCUAUGUGGCCAUACUCGUGAUUUUUCUUUUCCUUUUCAUUUUUUUCGCUUUUUUUUGUUCGCUUUUUUUUUUUUUUUGGCCUUUUUUCUUUUAUCAAAUUUCCAUGGAUGAAAACCUAGAGAUAAUUCUGAUAGACAAGUACAAUAGAGAUUAAUGAAUGAAAACCCCAAUAUGAUUAAACAUGAAAAUAAUUAACCGAAAAUUAUAGUAUUGUUAAUUUUACAUGUAACACAUGGAAAUUUCACUAGCAAUGGAAAAAGAGACAUUCACAUGGCAAUGAAUGAGAAAAGUGAAAAGUGAAGGAACAAAGCCAAUUUGAGUCCUGUAAAUUCUUGGUCUUCCUGCAAAUGAUUAAAGUUUCUCUCCUAUCAUCACUUUUUCGCAAAGUCUUGGUCUUUGUGGAAUCGAUUAAAGUUUCUCUUCCACCAUCACCUUUUUUCGCAAAGUCUCAGUCUAUCUGGAAUUGAUUAAAGUUUCUCUCCCAUUGUUACUUUUUCUUAAAAAGCUUCACUGUUGCUUCCUAAAUAUAACCGACAUAGACACGUGAUACACGACACGAUUUACCGACAUUUCAUUUUUCAAAAAACAAAAAAUUCCGACAUGUUGAAAUACGUUAUAUAUUAAAUAAAUAUUUUUUAUAUAUACAUAAUAAAUUAUUAUUUUUAUGAUAAAUUUACAAAUAGAUAAAUAAUAAAAAAAAAAAGCCUAAAAUGAGCUUACAAGUCCUCUAUCCCGCCUUGGCUACCGCGCCUUUUUGGCAAUUCAUUUGAACACACGUUCUUAGAACAAGAUAGAAAUUCUUUUACAUUUUCUUUUGAAGAUAAUUCAUAUAAUAAUAUAUUAAUCUAAUGAUUAAUAAAAAUUAAAAAUCUACUCUGACCAUCUCUCUCGUCCUCUUCUUGGGGUUUUCCAGACCAAGAAGCUUGCCCUCAACAAAUAACUGUGGACUUUAACCGUCAAGCGUUGCUUGUCGGGAGCCCCAAGUGAAAGCAAGGGAUGCCGUUCGUGGAACCUCACCAUGGUCGCGAUGGGCGAGGUCAAGAUUCCGACAACGGACUUCCAGAUCUGGAGGUGAGAUCGAGAUACGGUUGUGAUUGUGCUCCAUCUUCCCCGUUGUUGCCAUGGUUGCUGCAAAUCUAACUGUUUAGAUCGGAUCUGCAGUGGCGGAGGCAUUGGGUGGGGACUCACUAUUGGGCGCGGCGGCCAUGUGAGUCCUCCACCUCCCGCUUCUCCGCCUCCCUUAAGAACACCAACCCCCACCUCCCCUAUGGUGGCACAUGGCGGAAACUCUCAUAAUUACUUGAAUGCCCCUACGCGUGUUGGAAUCGCAUGUCGAAAUUUUGGACUCGCGUGUCGGAGUAUAUCAAGAAGAGUUGACCAUUUGUCGAAUUUUCCGACACUUAUUGACCACGUGUCGAAACAUGUCGAACAUGUGUUGGAGUGUCGGACACGACACAAAAGCUUUUGAAAAGUGUCGGUACUUCUUAAGUUACUUCACAUGUAUUGCGUGGAAAUUAUCUACUUUUGCUUCAGCUUUCCGUAAAAAAAAGCACAUGAUAUCCAGCAAAGUCUCGUGAAAUAUUCUCCAGAUAUUACGAAACAAGCACUUGUAGACAAAAAGUCUCUGGAAAUAUUCUCCGGAUAUUGCGAAACAAGCACUUGUAGACAAAAAGUAUCUUGCAUCUAUUUUCUCUAACCUCUGAUGCGCAUCUUUGAAAGUCUUGGUCUUGCUAAAGCUUAUAGUUUUCUCUCUCUACUAGCUCCUUAUCACUCAAACCUUGUUUUUUCUUCAGUGAUUCAUUCACCCAUGACCAUUGGAGAGAUCUUUUCGGGUUCCUUCUUGGCUUCCUUCUUAUACUAAUUUCUAGUAUUGUUAAUUUUAAGAACGGUUAAUAUCUUGAAAAAUUCCAAACUGGUACACAUGUGACAAAUUUACCUCAAAUUAUUUUUUUAAUCACCGAAAACUCUAAACUGAUAUACCUUUGAUAAAUUUAUCCCAAAUUAGUAUACUUAUAACAAUUUUACCCUAUGUUAGUUUUCGUUAAAUUUUAUUAUCAAAUUAUUAAGUUAAAUAAUAUGUGACAGUUGAUUGGUGUACCGAUUUGGGAUUUUACGCUCCAUUUGUCAAAGUUUACAAAUUUUGUAAUUUUUGUGGUAUUAAUUUAAUUUAGCGAAGGGUAUGUUUGUCACAAAUUUAUUAGUUUCGGGUUUUUUACGAUCGAAUAAAUUAGUUUGGGCUAAAUUUGUCAUAAAUGUACCAGUUUAAGAUUUGUUAUGAUUAGUUAGGGUAAAUUUGUUACAGGUGUACCAGUUUGGGCUUUUUCAUAGUCAAAAAAAUAAUUUAAGAUAAAUUUAUCGCAUGUGUACUAGUUUUGGAAUUUUUCAAUGUAUUAACCCUUUUAAGAAAGACGUGUAACGUGUGGAAAUUCUAUUAGUAAUGGAAAAAGCGACAUUCACAUAGAGACGGGAGAGGAGGGAUGUGAAAAGCGAAGCAACAAAGCCAACUUGCAUCCUGCAAAGACUUGGCCUUCUUGGAGUUGACUAAAGUUUCUAUCCCAUUGUCACUUUUUCCCUCUUGCCUCACUUUUUACACAAAAAAGUUGAUUCUCCAAAUCAAGACUUUUGGAUGUCGUCUAAAACAGAGGACCAUUUCUUUUGGCCAAAGCACAUGAUUUCGUUUUCUUUGUCAAACAUAUAAACUUACCCAUCUUUGGUGACUUGUAGAUGUAUACAAAAAAAACAUAAGAUGCCAUUGUUGGUUGUAUCCUCAAUAAUUUAGGUUUCAAAAACAUUGAUGUCGAUCUGACUUGAUUUCUACUAUUUACCUUGUAUAAUGUAGGAAAAAUAAACUUCAAAUAAUUAAAAUAUAUUUUUUUAAUUGAAAACUCAAGAUUUAGAAAAUAUUUUCAAAAAACUGAUUGAGUUUUUUGAUUUAUUGCUCACAAAAAUGAACAAAUCAAAUUUUUUCACCAUUUACCGAAAUAGGUAGGUAUAAAUUGAGGUUGGCAAUGAAAGAUAUCUUGUGUUGGUCAAUUUUUUUAAAUGAUGUAAAUUAUUUUUCGGAAAAUGUUAUCCAAAUCUUAAGUUUUUCACACUCUAGGUGCAUUUGGUAUGCUUCAUGGAUAAUUGUUUAGAUUUUUUUGUUCCCGAAAAUAGAAAUGGUAUAAAAAUGUAUUUGACAAAUUUUUUGUUCUUGAGAAUAAAUGUGUUCGCAUAACAUCUUUGAAACAGAAAUCAAACAAAAGAAAAAAGAAGUAACUAUUGCUCCAAGAACAAAAAUAAAAAAACGGAGUUAAUUCUCAUCCUUUUUAAAACUUCUUGGCAGACGUCUUUCUGUCUCUCUCACCUUUCUCUCUCGCGAAGUUUGUUUCUCCUCCACCUCCUCUUCGCAUCGUUCGCCGGAGAAGACAGAGUCGCGACACCUUUCCUCCUCCGUUGUUGCCGCAACUAGUCUUGAGAAACGGUAGGCGUCUCUCUCCUUGGCAAUUCUUGCUCUCUCUCUCUCUGGCGAUUCUCGCUUUGUUUUUCAUUGCUCCCCUUUGCCUUUUUUAUUUGGGUUUGAUUUGUCGCUCGAUUGAGCGAGAGGGUUAGUCGUAGAUCGUUUGCGUUUUGCUGUUCGUUCGAUUUCUUCCUGUCGUAGCUCGUCUCGUGUCGUUUUUGGAGGUGCUCUCACUUUCGCCAUUGACGUACGGACCACCGCUCGUGCUCUCGCUUCCCGUUCUUCUUAACAACGAAUCUGCAAUUUGGGUGUUCCCUGCAAUUCUUCUUUCCUCGUGGGUUUCUCCCCCUUUGCGGAAUCGAAGUAGUGGGUAAAAGGAAAAAUGAGAUUUUGGGGUCGAUGGUUCGUGUGUUUCACAAGUGUGGUAGAAGCGGUUGCUUGAGAAGAUUACCAGUGUCACAAAGCGGUGGGUUCUCAAAUAGUGCCGUCAAAUCCUCGAACAUUCUCGAACUCGCUCGAAAGGCUCCCCUUACCUUAUCUAUGCUUUUAUACCUGUCUGUCCCCAGCAGAGUUUUGGCUGGGCUUUUUCUCGAAUAUACGUUUUCCAGCAUCCAUUCUUGAAGUUUCAUCCCUUUCUAUUCUCUUGUACGAGGUUCUUUGAAUUGAAAGAUUUGAAGCAACGUAUUUUUGUUCACGGUUCUCUGGGUUCUAGCAAUUUCAUGAUAAGCUCUUCAUGUUUUGAUUGUUUUCAAUUUGCUUUGAGAUUUAUUAUGUGAUGAAUAAAAGUUGGGUUUUUGUUUUUUUUUUUUUUUUUUUUGGUGUUUUGCUUCUUUUUGUUGGGUGGUGGUGUUUCAGAAGCGCACCUGAAGUUCGGAUUUUGGAGUCGAAAGACCAGGAGAUAAAGUAGCAUUUUUUGACUCGAAGCAGGUAUGAUCAUGAAAACUUUCACCCGCAAUCAGACAUGCAAAGUUUUAAUUUUUGGAACUGUGUUGGUGGCUUAUUUGGAAAUGAGCAUGUAUAUGCGUGGAGUGGCCUCUUGUUACAACCUUUUUUAAUUUCUGUCUGUUUCAUCUUGAUUCUCCUGCUCCUUUCUUUAAAACCACACCGCCUCACUUUUUCUUCAUCCACCACCACCACCAUCAUCAUCAUUAAACUCACGCCCACAGACUUCACCCUCAUUCAAUUCAUUUAUUGCGUGCAUAUCGAUUGUCGCCAAUCACCACCAUCUCUAGUCGUCGCUCAACUAAUACCAUCGUUCGUCGUUGCAAGCAGCGACCACGCAUUGCCGUAGCUGAAUACGCACGCGUACAGUGAACUGCCAAACCUAGCACUCGUGCUUGCUGGAUUGCUGUUGUGGAUCUUAUCCCAUUCACCUGGUCAGCUCCAGGGAGUCUACUUGGAAUAGGUCAAAGACAUCUUUCUACUUGCUCUCUUUUUCCCUUGUGCUGAUGCAGCAAGUUUAAUAGCAAAAUUGGGGAAAGUUGAUGCCAGAUACUAGCUGGCCAGGUUAAAGUUGCAGCUUGAUUGCAUAAUUCAUGGUGAUUUGUUAAUUUUGUUUUAAUCAGGUGAUACAUCUGCACACAUAAUUGUUUGAGCCAAAACUCAGACCUUUAUUUUUUGAUUUUUCAUUACAUAUUAGCAUAGAAUUGCAUUAUAUCCAUAUCAGGACAAUUAUAUCAGAAAACUUAGAAUUUUCAUGGAAAAGCAUUAUCAUGCGCAUCUAGGCUUUUUGGAGUGCAUUAUUGUUAAUUCUCUUUUUUGCACAUUUCCUUUGAUAAAUCACAUGCUAUAACUUGGGAAAUUUGGGAAAAUCAUAUCUUGCAUAUUAAUAAAUUUAGAUUGCAUCUUCAUAAAAAACAAAACAAAACAAAAAUGUGAAGUGGAACUCUCCGCGAGUCACGAAGAGUAUUAUCGCCCCAUUCCUGCAUUUUUUUUUCUUCAUCAGUUUUUUGCUGUUUUUCUUAUUUAGUUUUUCUUCUUGCUUUUUUUCCAUUUAUUAGACUUAUAUUUGAAAAGAUAAAUGGAAAUCUAGACAUAAUUCCAAUAGACAAGUACAACAGAGAUUAAUGAAUGAUUAAUCACAAUAUGAUUAUUAAUGACAAAAGUUGGACUAAAAUUAUAGUUUUGUCAAUUUGAGCAAGAGAACAAUAAUCACUGCUAAUUGUCAAUCACACACAUAAACAAAUAAAAAUAAAAAUUGGCAUCCAUGUAACGCGUGGAAAACUACUAGUAAUGUAAAAAAGACAUUCACAUGGGAACGGAAGAGGAGGGAUUUGAAAAGUGAAGCGACAAAUCCAAUUUGCAUCACCGUAAGUCUUAGUCUUCUUCGAUUUUAUUAAAUUUUCUUUCCCAUAAGCUCUUUAUCAGUUAUACUUCACUUUCAUGACAAAAAAGUUCAUGAUACCCAGUGAAGGUUUGGUCUUCCCAAGUUUAUGAUUUUUUUAUAUGAACAAGUAUAUGAUCGUGGAUACUACAUAUGUAUGGGGAUAAUCUCUAAAUAUUACAGAACAAGCACUUGUGAAGAAAAGAAAAAGAAGAAAAAGUUGCAGCAAGAUGGGCGGCAAUAUCUGCUGAAAGGUGAUGGGUUAGUAGUUGAUGAUGGGGAAUCGCUUGAAACGAGAAUCAUGGUCCUUUGAGCACGUGUUUCUAUUCUCCUUAUCCACUGUAAAUGGUAAACGAGUCCAGUAUUAACAACAUAUAAUUUACCGGAUGUCACACUCUACCCAUUACACUAAUGAACUUGAUAAUCGUGUUCAAAGGAUCGCGAUUCUCCUAUCAAGGUGAUUCAUGAUUAUCAACCACUACCUCAACACACUUCAACAAAUCAUUAUCACCGAUCUUGCUAUGAAUCUUUCGCAUAGAAACUCCCAUGUAAAAGACUUCAUUAAUCUCAUAUUCACCAAUAAAGCAUAAAACAAUGACAUUGAAAUCAUGAGGUUACUAAGAAUAUACAAACGCUAAAAAAGCCAACAAAACACUCGUGAGUGAUAACACUUAUGGCGAAAAUAUGCAUACACUCUAAGUUCGUCACAUUAAGACUCUGUUUUGGAUGGCCAAAAGUAAAGAUCCAAUAGCCAAAAAGUCUUGAUCCGAAGAAUAAAGAGAGUAAUUGAUGUAACUAGCACUUGUGGACAAAUAGUAUUUAUUUUGAUUUGUCUAACCUUUGAUGUGCAUCCCUUGAAAGUCUUGGUCUUUUUUUUUUUAAAUCUUUUUCGUAGGUCAUCAUCUCAGUGUUCCCAGGACUUCAUAGUUUUCUCUCUCCAUUAGUUCAUUUUCACUUUGCUUCACCAUAACACCUUUCUUGUUCAUUACAGUGACCGAUUCACCUAUGGACAUUGGAGGGAUCGUGUUGGGUUCCUUUUUGGCUUCAUCCUUUCAGGUCCUGUUCGACAAGUUGGCUUCUUCCGCAUUAAGUUAUGCACAACAUAAAGGAAUCAGCACUACCUUGCCUAAGGUGUGGAAGGAGAAGCUAGUCAUAAUCAAUGCAGUGUUGGCUGAUGCGGAGGACAGGGAACUUAGUGGUAACCAUCAAGUGAAGCUGUGGCUGGACAAGGUUAAGGACUUGGCCUAUGACAUGGAAGACUUGCUCGAUGAGUUUGAGAUCAAAGCUGCUCAAGUUGAGUCAGAGGCAGAAUCCAGCACAAGCAAAGGUUUGGGGAAAUGGAAGUUCUCUGUAUUUGGCCGACCACCCUCGCUCAUGUCUGAAACCAAGGUACAAGAGAUCAAUGACCGUUUGGAAGAGGUUGUCACUGGAAAGGUUCAUUUAAACUUGAGAGAGAAUGUUGUGGACAAAUCCAACUAUACCAGUAAAAGGAUAACCACUUCUCUAUCAGAGCCUCAAUUUUUUGGUAGGGAGGAGGAUGUAGAACAAAUACUCGAACUAUUGAUCAAUGAGGUCAAAAAUUCUAAUGCCACGCUAAACAUAGUCCCCAUAGUUGGGAUGGGUGGUAUUGGAAAGACUGCCUUGGCUCAACAGCUAUAUAAUGAUGCAAGAGUGAAUAGAUGUUUUGAGAUGAGAGCAUGGGUUUGUGUUUCAGAUGUUUUUGAUGUUCUCGACAUAACAAAGACUAUUUUACGGUCAAUCACUAGGUUGCCCUGUGAGGGCAAAGAUCUAAACGAGUUUCAAGUUAAGUUGAGGGACAAUCUUUUCGGAAAGAAGUUUCUUGUGGUUCUAGACGAUAUCUGGAAUGAGAAGUACGAAAAAUGGACUGAUCUCUUAAAGCCAUUUGUAGUGGGUGCUAGGGGAAGCAAGAUUAUUAUUACGACUCGCAACCAUGCUGUUGUUUCAGUAACAAAAGCACCGCCAAUUCCGUUGAAGGAAUUGUCCCUCAAUGAUUGUACAAGCUUAUUGGCCUUUCAUGCUCUUGAAGCAACAAAUUUUAAGAGCCACCCGGAAUUUGAAACAAUAGGCAAGAAAAUAGCUAAAAGAUGUAAAGGUUUACCUUUGGCAGCGAAGAUGUUUGGUGGUGUCCUACGACAUAAAAUGAAUCCCAGUGAAUGGGAAGAUACCUUAAAUAACAUAAUAUGGGAUCUUCCAACGACAAAGAAUGAUGAGGUUCUCCCUAUUUUGAAAUUGAGCUACGUCCAUCUUCCUUCCUAUUUGAAGAGAUGCUUUUCUUAUUGUGCAGUAUUUCCUAAGGAUUACGAAAUUGAGAGGGAUGAGCUAGUACUCUUAUGGAUAGCGGAGGGAUUUUUAGAUGGACAAAAAACAAAGAAAANNNNNNNNNNNNNNNNNNNNNNNNNNNNNNNNNNNNNNNNNNNNNNNNNNNNNNNNNNNNNNNNNNNNNNNNNNNNNNNNNNNNNNNNNNNNNNNNNNNNAUGCAUGAUCUUUUGAAUGAUCUAGCAAAGUCAAUUGAGGGUGGGAUAUGCUUUAGCUCUGGGAGUCUCUACCGGCAAUUAAUGAAGAUUAUGCAUCUUUGGAGAGAGCUCGUUAUGCAUCAUUCAUCCGGUCGCGGUUUGUUACAUCAAAAUGCUUGUGGGCAUAUCAUGAUAUGAAGGUAUUAAGAAGUUUAAUUUUGGUGCGUAUUGGAUCUAGUGGGAACUGUCUCCUUAUAUCCGACAAGGUGCUACAUGAGUUGCUAACAAACUUGAAGUUUCUAAGGGUUUUUUCAUUAUGUCAUUGUAACAUCGUAGAGGUACCAAAUUGUGUUCAUGAAUUAAAACAUCUUCGAUACCUCAAUUUCUCGAACACUUAUAUCGAAAGGCUACCUGAGACUAUUGGCAACUUGUGCAAAUUACAAGCUUUGAUCUUAAGAGAUUGUCAUAAACUUUCAAAGUUGCCUAACAGUAUCACAAAGUUGGUCAGCUUACAGUUUCUUGAUGUUAGAGAUACAAAAAGUCUAAAAGAGAUGCCACUGGGUAUCGGUAAUUUGAAGAAUCUUACUAUAUUGUCCAAGUUUAUGGUAGGAACAAAGAAAUGGUUACAAUUAAAGGAGUUAAAGACCCUAUCGCAUCUUCAAGGAGAAUUAUGCAUAUCAAAAUUACAAAAGGUGGAAGAUGUUAGAGAUGCCGUUGUUGCUAAUUUGUCAGGAAAGCAAGGCCUAAGAAAAUUAUCCUUGCAUUGGGAUGAAGAUUUUGGAAUUUUUAGGAAUGAUAAGCACGAAUCACAGGUGCUUGAGUCUUUGCGACCUCCCAUUGAUAUUGAAAAUCUCACUAUUUUGAACUAUGGCGGUGCAAUAUUCCCAUCAUGGUUAGAUGGUUCAUCAUAUUCUCGGAUAGUGUCUUUGAGCUUGUGGAAUUGUCCUUAUGUCACAUCGUUGCCUUCACUUGGACAACUCCCUUCAUUGAGAGAAUUAUCUCUUAAAGGUCUAAAUGCAGUAAGAAUAAUAGGCUCUAAUUUUUACGGAGGUGAUAGGCCUUUUUCGUCCUUAAUUACUUUGCAAUUCGAAGAGAUGUUGGCAUGGAAGGAUUGGUCUCCUUAUGUGGGGGGCCCAAAAGAAGAAGUCCCAUUCUCUUGUCUUGAGCAUCUUGUUGUCCGGGGAUGUCCUUCGUUGGUCGGGACAUUGCCUUGUCAACUUGAUCAUCUUAUAAAGCUUGAAAUUCAUUCAUGCCAACAAUUGAAUAACUCAACCAGUGAGUUAUGUCUUCCAUCUCUCGAAGAGUUACACCUUGAGGAUUGUAGUAAGGAGAUCUUGAAGAGCUUGUUCAAGCUAACUUCUUUGACAAUUCUCAAAAUUAACAAACUCAUAGAGCUUGUUUCCUUUGAUCAUUGGUUUAUGAGUUGCUUGGGCAAGCUAAGGAAGCUUCAUAUAGGACUGUGUGACAAGCUAACAUGCUUGUGGCAAGAUGGAGAUGAAACACAAAAUCUCACUUGCCUCCAGGAAUUAGUAAUAAAAAAUUGUCCUCAAUUCACAUCUUUUGUGGCAGGAGACGGAGAGAUAGAGCUACCCUGUAAUCUUGAAAGGAUGGAAUUGGUGGAUUGCACAAGUCUAGAAAAGCUUCCAAGUAAGAUGCACACACUUAGACAUUUGGUGAUUGAGAAUUGUCCAAAAACCAUGGCUCUAAACAUUCCUCAAGGUGACCCGAGCAGCAAUAAUUCGAUUUCUCAACUUGAAUCUCUUAAGAUAUGUUGCUGUGAUUCUCCGAUAUCCUUUUCAUUUGCCAAGGGUAGACUUGCUCCUCUGAAGGCACUUCAUAUAGACAAUUGUAAGGGAGUGGAGUCAUUGGAAGGGAUUGCCGUAGAAUCGCUUGAAACAAUGACAAUUAACUAUUGUCAAAAUCUGGGAAGCUUACCACAGUGCCUUCACAUGCUCUCCCAUCUCACUCGAUUGAAUAUUCAUAAUUGUCCAGCACUGGAGAUAGAGGACUUCCCUCCCCUUCCCGUCACCCUCUCGAGUCUUGAUCUUAGUUCUUGUUCUAAGAUAAAGUCUAUUGCCAACUGUAACAUUGCCAACUGUAACAAUCUCACUAAAUUGAAAAUAAAGAAGUGUCCGGUAUUGGAGAUAGAGGACUUCCCACCCCUUCCCAUCACCCUGCAGAGUCUUGAACUUUGGUAUUGUCCGAUGAUAAAGUCCCUGCCAAAUAAGUGGCAUCAUCUUACCUCCCUCCAAGAGCUAAGAAUUUACUAUUGCGAAAAUAUCAAAUGCUUCCCUAAAGGAGGUCCGCCUCCCAAAUUGCGAGACCUUGCAAUUAUGGGGCUCGUGGCUCUGAAGCACCCAGUGAGAGAGUGGGGCUUACCCCUACUCACAUCUCUCGAGAGUCUGACCGUUGCGUUUAACAUGGGAGGGGAGGGAGAGAAGGAGUGGUUUCCUUUGGAGGAUAAGGAUGCUUGGAGUCGCUUUCCUUCCUCUCUAACCUAUCUUUGGAUAUAUGGUUUGAGAAACACAGAAAGACUAUCGAGCGGUCUCCGCAACCAUCUCUCCUCUCUCCGAUGGUUAUCUAUUAAGGAUUGCCCCAAGUUGAGGUACUUGCCAGAGGAUGGCUUCCCUCCCUCCCUCCAACAAUUGAAAAUAUGGAGAUCCAAGAUUCUGGAAGAGCGAUGCGCAAAACUCACUGGCGACUAUUGGCCCCUCAUCGAAGAGAUCCCUUCCAUCAUCGUUGAUCACAAACAGAUCUAAUGAAUUGAUUCGUGCAUCUACACUACAAUGAGUUUUCUUAGGGUUCGAGUAAGUUAUUUUUGGUUUUGAAGGCAUCCUUUUCCAUUCUACUUUCUCAAUUCGAUGCUCAAUACGAACUGAUGUUUGGGUGGGGGAUUGCGUUGGGUUGGAUUGGCUCUAUUUCGUUGGACGAUGAACUGUAGGAUGAAACGCUCGCAGUGCUGCCUCUUGCUAUGUUGACGACAUAUCCUCAUUUAUGCUCGAUGCCCAAACCAUUUGUGAAUGAAAUCGCACCAUCACGAAGAAUCGUAGCAUUCCACAAUCAUAGUCCUCUGCAUUUUCAGCGUCUAUUGUCUGUUCUCUUCCCAACAUAUUUUUUCUUGGGCCCUUAAGCUCAUUCACUCUGCUUGUUUUGCAGAUACCAUUGUGAUCUUGCAUUGGCAGAAUCUCUUGGAAUGAUCACGUGCGAACGCUUCUAAGGUAGGGCUAAUGCUGUUGGUGUCAUUGUCUUGCUUCAUUUUUUUUUUCUUUUGCAAUUUAUCAAUAAAGGAAGAAGCAAUNNNNNNNNNNNNNNNNNNNNNNNNNNNNNNNNNNNNNNNNNNNNNNNNNNNNNNNNNNNNNNNNNNNNNNNNNNNNNNNNNNNNNNNNNNNNNNNNNNNNUGAUGUGAUUGUGAAGAAAUGGAUGCGGUUUUUUCAUUUUAUGGAUUUCUUAAGAAUAGGAACCUUCUUCUUCCUUUUUUAUGAUGAUUCUUUGUAGUAUUAAACAGUCAAUCUGGGAUAAAAUUCCGAGGCAGCUCAUGGCUCCAAGCUUUCACGUGACAGCAUUGAUAUUCCAUAAAUCGCUUUCUAGUUGGGUCUCGAAUUCUGGUGGUUUAGGAACUGUUGCUCACAGCUUGCUAGAAAUUUUUAGCAAAUAUACUUAUGCUUGUUGGGUUGAGAUUGUUGUGAUAGGCUGCCUACCUUCGGGUUUCCAUCAUCAGCGGUGACCAUGUGGCAUUCUUCCCAAAAGGAGUUCCAGAACAAAAUGUUCGAGCUGACAUGGGUUCAUUUGGAGUAACUGGAAAUCUUGUGAUUCAACCAAUUUGUAUCUUGCCUGGUAUAUCUCCUCUCUCUGUGCUAGUGUUGCAUGUAUAAAUUUUUUGUUGAAGCAAUGUUCUUAUGACAUUGUGAAGCUCUGUUAAAAGUUAGAUAAUUUGUAAUCUGAAUUGUGGUUCACUGUGUACUUUCUCCAAGGCUUUCUGGAUGUUAUUGCACAUAUAACAUGGUGCUUUGACCACAUAAAUAGGUGGUUAGAAAAGCAAAGUUACAUUUGCCAAGAUAACUUUCAAGCAACCUCACAUAGUUUUGCUUGACGACCCAUCCUAUCAUUUGGUAAGUUCUACUCAUAUUUCUCCAUUUUAUGACUUUGAUUACUUUUUCAGUUAGCUUGUUAUUGUUCUUGCACUAAUUGAACUUGUCGGAAUCUGGUUUUUACAUUAAAAAUAUAGUAGAACCAAAUGGUGGUCAUAGCUACUGGUAGCCCUCGUCAUCAUACAUCUAGCAAAUAAUGGAACAGACACCAAUCUAAUUGUUCCAAUGUGGAAAAUAUUCAGAAUAGAGCAAUCUACAAUACCAAAUGGUACUGAUCUUUAUGCCUAUAGGCAGUAUUGGGCUUUACAUACAAAUAUGUGGACCCCUUUUUGUUUGUAAAUCCGGUCUUUAAGUUUUGCUUUAAUGACCAGUGACUAAAGAAUUAUCUUUGUAAAUUGUUAGUUUCUUGUCUAAUGAUUAGUGUUUUUGUUUUUUUUUCCCUAUCCACACCUGUAGGAUUUGGAUGUGGCUGAGGCGCUCAUUCAAGGUCUGGUCUUGUUCCAAGGAUUAAUUCUGAUGGUGAGAUUGAUUUCCUUGUCAAAAUACUUCAAUUUGACCAAUGAUGGAUCAUUUCACAGCUAAUAGCCCUCUUUUCACCUUGAUUUGCAGGUUGGUCAUGAUGAGCAUCUAAUAGCUAGAAGCUUGGAUGAGGUCUGGGUGGUUUCACAAGGCAAGGUGGCACCUCUCCAUGGGAAUUUCUAGGACUAUAGGAAUGUACUCCUAUUUUUAUUGAAUCAGGUGAAUCUAGUUAUUGCCAUCCACUAAGAGUGGUUCAGUGGGUUCACAUUACCUCACAAAACAAAAAAUGAGGCUUAGCUACAUAGAGAAAGCAAAAAAGGAUGAAGAGAGGAUUGAUGCUGAUAUACAGGACGGACUCACAGUUACACCAGCCCUCAUUUGUCAUUUAUACUUGACAAGGGCUUGUGGAACGAUGAGUCUAAGUUUUUGACAGCAUACAGUAUCAUUUGCAAUAGCUUAAGAACUGAGUUGUGAUUGUAAUCUUGGUAUAAUUUAUGAUUCUUUGCACAUUUUGUUAUAGCAAUAGGUUCAUUUGUUGUGCCCCUGGAAGUUUGAUGCUCUAUUGCCACCGAAGUCAGUUUUCUCAUGCACACUAAAAUGAUUUAAUCAUUCGCAAAAGAAUAUUUUAGCACAGUAAAUUAUUUUGUAAGACAAAUCUAUUUUGUGAGAAAGCUAUAUCAAUAUAUUUUCCCCAUUUUCACUAUUUUGCACUAUUUUGGAGAAUUAAUUAUGAAAAUAUUAUCAUGGCCAACAAAACCCAUUCUUAGGAUGUAGGCAAGCUCUACCACUGAAAGUCAAAGACUGACAUUUGAGCGGGAUUUCUUGUUGGGUUGGAUCAGCUCUGUUUCGUUGGACAAUAAACUUUAGGUCGAAAUUCACUCAGUGUUGCCUCUUGCUAUAUUGAUGGCAUAUCUUCAACUCUACUUGAUGCUUAAACAAACUUUGAAGAAAGAUGCACUAUCACGAAGAAUUAUAGCGUUCCACAAUCAUAUGUCUUUGCAUUUUCAGCGUUUCUUGUAUGUUCUCUUCCCACCAUCUUUUUCUUGUGUCCUAGCUCAUUCAUUGUUUUUUUUUUCAAUGGUUUUCUUUAGAAUUGAGAACCCUUUUUUAUUUUUUUUAUUUUUAUUGAUGAUGAUCCUUUGUAGUAUUAAGCAAUCUAUUUGGGACACAUUUCUGGGGCAGCUUAUUGCUCCAAGCUUUUAAUACAACUCCAUCAUGAUAGCAUUGAUAUUCCAUAGAUCACCAUUCUGUUUGUGUUUACAGCUUGCUAGAAAUUUUUAGCCUAUAUACUCGUGCUUAUUUGGUUGAGAUUGUAACGAUAUGUUGCCUGCCUUUGUGUUUGCAUUAUUAGCAGUGACCUCUGGGGCAAAUCUAUUCAGGUCUUUAAAGUAUUGGUUGUUUGCAUUUACUCCAUUGCGGAAUAUGAUUUUGUUAUACAUCAUGUCGUUUUAUCUGCAAAUGCCUUCUUAUGUAGCAUUCUUCUUGCAGGGAUUUUCAAUCGAAAAGCUUCGAGCUCACUUGUGUUCCUUUGGUGUAAUUGGACAUCUUGCACUUCAACCAAUGUAUAAUACCUUUAUGAUACAUCGCCUCCCUCUCCGCUACCGUUGCAUAUGUAAAUUAUUUUUGAAGCAAUUGUUUUAUGACAUUGUGAAGCCCUAAUAGAGGUUAGUCAAUUUGCAAGUAGUUCACUGUGUACUACUCUGAGGCUUUUGGGAUGUUAUUGCAUAUGUAACAUGGUGCUUUGACCAUAUAAAUAGGUGC